AGCAAAAACAUCUCUGAACAGAAUAACGACAGGUAAUAUUGUGAGUUGAUGUAUAUUGAUGAGCGGUCAGUGGAAAGAACAACUUGGGUAGCUGCGGCUAGGGUUCCUUUCCAAGCCCUAUCUAUCUAGUAUAUAUAGCAUUUUGUAAACUUUUCAUUUUGGACCAAAAACCCCCAGUUUUUCUUUUAAAGUGAUGGGCAAUUAUGUAAUUUAAAAUAUAAUAUUUGUGAUGGGUAAAUUUGUAAAUAAAAUUUAAUAUUUAUAAUUAGAUAUUUUGUUGUAUUCAUGUCUUCCUCUCGGUGGUCUCCCGGUGUUUUUGUUUGCGCUUUGUAAUUCUGGUAUAUCUUCAUCUAGUCUCUCUCUAAACCAUGUGCAACCCUAGUUAAUCUAGCUUUUCUCUUUUUAAUUCCCCAUAUCCUAGACAAAUUUAUGUUUUGUGAAAUAAGGUUUCAAGUUUUCUUGAUAUGGAUAAAGAUAUAGUGUUUCUUCCUGCUUGUGAUUUUCGUAAGUGUUCGAAAUCGUCAAAAUGUAAAAUUAAAAUGGUAAAACUGAGUAUCAACUCAACUGUGGGCUUUCGCACCGGUUUUCGACCCACCAACUGUGGGCGACUAAUCUGGCUUGUGCGUAGAGGCAUGCGCACUGGCCAAGUGUUGUUUCCCCUGGGAAUCGAACCCGGUAUUCCCCGGAUACGUCCUUGGAAUGAGCUCCUUGCCACUGGAGCCCAAGCAACUUGGUUAAUAUUUAUAUUUUAAUUGAAUAAAAAGUUACUAGAUUUAUUGGAUAUCAAUUAUGAAAAUUAAGGAAAUUAAGAUUUGUUUGAACGUUAGAAUAAUAAAUGGUUAGAGAUGAGAUUCACUAGAUAACUGUCAUAAGUUAUCAACUUUACCAUGACUAUUGAAUCCCUUUAUUUAAUUACUACCGAUUUCUCUAAAAUAAAUUUCCCCAAUUCCUUAGUGACAUAAUCGUUAAUUCCAAUUGUUAUUAACCCCUGAUUCCUUAGAGAAUUCAAGAUUAAAUUAAGCAUGAAAGUACAACUCACACGGUUUCAAAGGUUUGCAUCUAUACCUAUACUGCAAAGGCAAUAAUUGCUUAUUUCAAAGUGUUCAUUAACUCAACUUCUCUUCAGCACCACUCACACGGCCACACGUGUGCAAUAUUAUGCCAUCUCAAGGCCACACACUCAAGGGAGCACGUCAACUCGCAUGCGCCAUGCCACACUGGACUAUGCUUCCUUGCCGAGAUCACGCUACACGUGUCCACUCCCUCUCUUAAUCAUACACAGCAUAACCCGGAGACUGUUAUGCCAAGAGUGCGCCUACAUAAGGGUGAACUUUCUUCACCCUUAAGGUACACAAAACUUUUCACAACUGUCCAAAGAAUUUUCUCUCAAUUCCAUUAUUGACUUGAUCGUCGGAGUGCUAACGUGCCUGCAGGCACCUUUUGUUCCACCGCAGAAGACGCUUUACCGCUGUACCGGAGUCGUUAUCGAUCAUCAGAGCAUUCUCUACAACCCUUGUGACUCAGCCGUUCUCACCGGGCAGAUCAUUUGGCGCUAGAAGGAGGGGAUCGUUCGCUAAACCGCCUCAGUCCAACGAUCCUCCAAUGUAACCUUUUUUCGUUACACGCAUCUCUGCCGUAACAGUUUUCGGAUUACACAUUCCUCCACCGCAAUGGUCAACAAUUACUGUUCCUGCUUUCAAAGCAAUGGCCGGAACUCGCAGAAGAACCGAAGCGAGUCGCUCCGCCACCUUUCCAGCACCACGUUCGACCAUCCAAAUUCUUCAGAGACGAACGGUUCCGAUACUUGAACCGGUGAAUACUGAAGGAAGCAAUGCUAUCCUAGACACCACAACCGGUGUUUGUGCUGCAACCGCCUUGAAUGCAACGGCGCUGCCUCCACCUCUCACACAACCUGAGAACUCUCCUCUUCAGUCAUCUCAAGCUCCACCGCCUCCGGAUACGAACAAAGUCCUCACGAACCUAGUAAACCCAGUCCGCCAACAGAAUGAUAGACUCGAACGUCUCGAGAAGAAUCGGGAGAAGAUUUCACUGUUUUGUUAACUUGUAUACCUUUGACGAAGAUUUCACUGUUUUGUUGUUUGAUUUGGAGCCUUUAGAACCAAAGUAGCAAUAAAUUGAGGAACAACAUUUUGGAUAGAGUUAUCAAGCAAUUGAUCAAACAAAGGUUUGAUUAGAUGAUUGGAAUCUUGCACGCUGCAGCAGAACUUCUUCUGUUCCCCUGCAGCACGGCCUGCAUUUGCUGUCACAGAUGGGAUAGUUUCUUGCAGCCGAUGCAGUCCCAAAUGAUGCUUCUGCCAUGUUUUCUAAUGCAGUGACAAAUUUGAAGUUGAAAAAACCUAGUGCAAGUGCAAUAUCGGUGCCUCUUUAUCGAUCAAUUCGAAUAGGAUUUUGAUUGGGAUUUGUAUCUGGGAUCAUCAUGGUCAAUUCAUGCUUCCUAAAACCGAAUGUUUUACUGCAAUUUGUGAUGUGGAUAUUGGCGAAGCUCUCGGUCUUUUAACGGCUCUACAACGGGUUCAUGAAUUACAUUUAUGUCUGAGUUUGGUCAAAUCGGUCGACAAUAUAAACUCCUUCAUAGUUCUCUUUAUAGAAACUCUUAGGUAGAGUUUGUUAGAAGGAAAGCAAAUGAGGUCGCACAUGCUAGAAGUAGCCACAUCUUUAGGUAGUGUCAAAAAAAAAAAAAAUUUGAACAAUAGCUAGUGUCAAAAAUAUUGAUUGACAGUCCUGCUUGUAUUAACAAUAUUCUUAUGAAUGAAAUGCUAUAAGUUAGUUUGAGUAAAAAAAAAUGAUAGUGUGGUUAGUGUCAACUUUGCUGAAGAAAAAAGUUAGUAUUAUUGCGUAAAAAAAAAAACUUUCAGUGGAUGCACAACUUAGGGAAAUGACUGGGACAGACACACACCGUAUUGUGCAUAUAUAUGACACAUUUAUUCAUCAAAGUUCUGAUCACGGUCAACUGAGAUAACGGCAUAGAAGGAAUAAAUUUAUUAAUUCUAAGUACAUAUAUGUAGCAGACCCAAUGAGAAUAGUGAUGGUGGGUGAUAGCAGAUGAAGCAAGAACUCUCCUCAGAUUCGGUGUGUCUCGGUGUUGGACACACGCCGGUGUCUGACACCGACACCUAUGAUCAUUGAAUUAUAUUAUUUUCUUAAAUUAUUACAUGUGUCGGUUUAUCGGUUUCCCCGUGUCGUGUCCAGUGUCCGUCUGUGUAUAUGAAGAAGGAGACAAUGCAGCGAUCAUGAUGGAAGAAAACUCCUAGUGAAAGGAAACUAUGUAUAGACAUUUUCCUUUGUAGAGAACCAGAAGGAUCACUUGGUAUUUUAUAUAAGUUAUCUUUUGCAACACAUACUUUAUAUUUGGAUAAAUAUUAAAUUAUAUAUGUACAAUAUUUUCAGCACCUUUAAUGAUGUGUUGGUUGUUCAAAUGGUAGACUGUCACAUAAAAUGAACUUUAAUUGGAUUGCUUAUAUUCCCUGCAUGCAUUUUUUUACAAGUUGCAGCCAUCUUGCAAAGUCUGGUUUGAACUUUAUAGGGACUUCAUUGCAAUAUGUGUUGGAGCAUUAUUCUUCAUUGGAAUGAUACUGCCACUAUAUAAAGCUAUAGAACUAGAAACCUAUGUUUACUCAAAUAGUCAUAAAGCAGCCUGCAGUAGCAAUUGGUUUUGUUUCACAAAAAUUUUGACAACACUUUUUCCCUUAUGACCCUUAAUUUGUUUGAAAAAUCUUGCACAUUCUGCUUAAAGCUAUUAUCGCAUUGUCUAAUUCUAAUGUUUGAGAAUUCUGAAGAAACAAAUUUUAAAGUGUUGUUGUUAUGAGCAGGUGAAUCAUGACUACAGGUGCUUAUGAGCCAUUUUUCAGCAUCAAUACCAUUUCGAAAGAAAACUUUUUAUGGGAAAGUUUCUUCAAACAUUAGAAGAACUGAAGUUGUAAAGGGGUCUGUCUACAAGGUGUCAAAGGAGCUUCAAGUUUUCUCAACCGUGUUGCAGAAACAUUGUUAAAUCUUCUGUUUUCUGCGUUGGGAUUUAGAACUGGCAUGGAUUUGACAAAUUCAGGUUUCUCUUGGGCUCAACUUGCAAAGAGGGUCAAUGAAAUCAUCAACAAAAGGGUUGUUUUUGUUGUUGAUGUUGAUGUUAUAGUCUUUGUAUUUGCACAAAAAACAGCAACAUGAUGUAUUAGAUAAAAUGCUAGUAUUCUUCUUAAAAAAUAAAAGUGAGUUGUUUAAUCAACCCGUACAAGAACUGUAUUAGAUUUUUUGUUUUCCGAUCAUCAGAAAUUAGUACAUUAGAAAAUUGGAUAAUUUGAAAUAUAAGAUAAUUUCUUCUGUUCUUUCCGUGUACUUGAUUUUUAGUAUUAACUAACAAUUGGUAAUAUGUCAUAAUACUAAUCUUAGCGGUUUCCAAUUGUUGUACUCACAAUUUAAGCCUAAUCUUUCCACUAAUUGAUGAUUGCAACUAGUGGAAACAUAAGUGCAAAAUUCUGCAAUGUAUAUUAGCGAAAUUAUUCUUAGAGCAGAUAGAUAGAUAUAUUCGGUAUAUGUUGCAAUCAGCUCAAGUUUGAUUUUGUUGACUUAAACAAAGCUUUAUUUUUCAUGUUAUUUGACUUAUAAGUUGAUUGAUUUUAUAAGGUCUUUCGACACUGUUUUGCAUUGUUUCAAAUGAUGCUUUAAUUUCAUGUUUGGAUUACUUGAAAGUACUAGGUUUAAUGUGGUUGCUUUGGAACUUAACUUGUUACAGUAGUUGUUAUCUCUUUUACUUUGAUGUAAUCUGAGCUAUGUGAUGAUUUGGUAGCUUUGGUUGAUAUACUCGAUUUUUUUGUUUGCCUCAUCUGAUGCAUGCUAUAUCAGGUUUUCUUUCCCUCCUCAACCCCCUUUUUAUCGAUUAUUUACUUUCUAUUCUAUUUUCAUUUGCUCAAUCAUCAUAAGAGUUAUGCAAGUCAAGUUGUCAUCAAUACUUAGAUACAUUUUUACCAUUAGUCUAAGAGAGGAUUUUUAAAAAUUGUGUAAAAAGUGUGGAGAAGAUCUUUGAGGAGAUUAAAGUCGUGUCUUGGAGGUGGAAACUUAGUGGUUUGAAGUCAUUCCCCUGCCUUUAUUACAAAUGGUUUAAUUGGCAUAGAUGUAAGAAGUUUAGUGCCGUGUCUGCUGGCUUUCUGGUGUUUUUCCUGUGCUGCCUGGGAAUUCUCUCAUUCAGAAAGUUCCUUUUUGUUUCGGCUUUCAGUUCUGUCUGUGUAUGUAUUUUGGUUUUUGUAGGUGGUGAGUAUUGUUUGGUUUUGUUUUCGGCGUGCAGGCGCAUUUAGUCUUGUUUGAGGCGUGUCGGCUGGUUACUGGUAACUGGAAUUUUAAAUCGUUCAUGCUUGCUGAUCUCUGCUCAAGAAAUUGUAAAACUUACAUUUGUUUCUCCUGUAAUAGGAUACAAGCAAGAAAUCUCCAAUGGAGCUAUCAAUGAAGUGCCAACUAUUAAGGUCGAAGGCAGGAUAGUUGCUUGUGAAGGAGAUACAUUACUAAUUUUGAAAAUUUCUAUUCUCUCUUCUUCCUUGCAUAAGUGAGAAAGAGAUAAAGACCUAACAGGUGAAGUUUUGUUGAUUAUGUAGGAGGAUUUAAUUAAGUUGGAUAUUGUUGUCUGUGAUCAUAAUGUGUUUUAGGAAAUUGCUGCUGAACAUCAUAAUGUGUUUUUGGUUACGAUGUUCUCUGACCAAAUCAUAUGAUGUAAUAAAUGUACUUGUCUGUUACGAUUUGCUAAAUAAGAAUAUGACAAAAUUGUUCAUGUUACCAUCUCAUACAGAUGGGGUCUUACAUUGUUGUGUCUGUACUAUGCAGAGCCGGCAAUUUGUAUGAAGCUGGAGGUAUAACAUAUUACCAAUUGUUAGUUAAUACUAAAAAUUAAGUACACGGAAAGACCAGAAGAAAUGAUCUUAUAUUUCUAAUUAUCCAAUUUUCUAAUGUACUAAUUUCUGAUGAUCGGAAAACAAAAAAUCCAAUACAGUUCUUGUACGGGUUAAUUAAACAACUCACUUUUAUUUUUUAAGAAGAAUACUAGCAUUUUAUCUAAUACAUCAUGUUGCUGUUUUUUGUGCAAAUACAAAGACUAUAACAUCAACAACAAAAACAACCCUUUUGUUGAUGAUUUCAUUGACCCUCUUUGCAAGUUGAACCCAAGAGAAACCUGAAUUUGUCAAAUCCAUGCCAGUUCUAAAUCCCAACGCAGAAAACAGAAGAUUUAACAAUGUUUCUGCAACACGGUUGAGAAAACUUGAAGCUCCUUUGACACCUGGUAGACAGACCCCUUUACAGCUUCAGUUCUUCUGUUGUUUGAAAAAACUUUCCCAUAAAAAGUUUUCUUUCGAAAUGGUAUUGAUGCUGAAAAAUGGCUCAUAAGCACUUGUAGUCAUGAUUCACCUGCUCAUAACAACAACACUUUAAAAUUUGUUUCUUCAGAAUCCUCAAACAUUAGAACACUAGAUAAUGCGAUAAUAGCUUUAAGCAGAAUGUGCAAGAUUUUUCAAACAAAUUAAGGGUCAUAAGGGAAAAAGUGUUGUCAAAAGUUUUGUGAAACAAAACCAAUUGCUACUGCAGGCUGCUUUAUGACUAUUUGAGUAAACAUAGGUUUCUAGUUCUAUAGCUUUAUAUAGUGGCAGUAUCAUUCCAAUGAAGAAUAAUGCUCCAACACAUAUUGCAAUGAAGUCCCUAUAAAGUUCAAACCAGACUUUGCAAGAUGGCAGCAACUUGUAAAAAAAUGCAUGCAGGGAAUAUAAGCAAUCCAAUUAAAGUUCAUUUUAUGUGACAGUCUACCAUUUGAACAACCAACACAUAUCAUUAAAGGUUCUGAAAAGAUUGUACAUGCUAGGACUUUUACCCGUGCUAACGCCCGGGACAUUAAAAAUGAAGAAGCUAAAAAAGUUCCGAUAUUAUUCAUUACAUAAAAAAUAACAUAAAUAAACAUAAAAAGUAUUUAGAGGCAUACAAAAUAUUGGGUCACACAUUUUCGAAUAUUUCCUUAUAAACUACAUUUGAAGUGGUGCUGAUACAAUCCCCAUUGUCAUCUGUUAAUAAUAUUUUCAGACCAUCUCUUGAUGUAACACGUGAUAUUGCAACAUAUAGUUGCCCAUGUGAGAAGACCAUCCCUUGAUGUUUCUUCAUCUGUUAAUAAUAUCAUCUGUUAAUAAUAUCUUCAGACCAUCCCUUGAUGUUUCUUCAUUGUUGGACUCAUCGUCAUCUUCUUCAUUGCAAGUCUAUUUGAUAACAAUUGCUUCAAAUUUAUGAAGUUUUGGAUCAAUCAACGGGACAUAAGGUUGGAGUUUGGAACCAAAAUCCUCAAUCAACAGACCAGGCAAGCAGGAAUUUCCCUACAACAAAAUUGCACAUUUUUAAACCAUAAUAUUUAGAUCAAGACACAAUAAUGAAAAGAAUGAGUGUUUAAAAAAGAACUUACGUUGGUAGGAUUAAAUUCAACCGAGUAUGUUCUGAAUCUAAGUUUGAGUGAGUUGACAAAGAUGUCUCUCUCGGAAGUGGAAGUGGCUUGAAUGGGUGCUAAUCACAAUUUACAUGGCUUAGCAUGCAUUGAUCUUCAUAGACUAUAUACAUCAGAGACCUGAUAUUCAAUCACAAUUUACAUGGGUGAAUGCAAAAUGGUUAUUGGUUACUGCCAUUCUUUCAUAGCAUGCAAAACAAAGAGAGACAUUUUUGAGUUAGAUUGAUCUCAUCAAAUACAUAAUAUAUAUUGGACCGUCAUAAUAUUCCUAAGGACCUAAAAGACCUCCAAAAGGGCUUCUUAGACCCUCAGAAAGGACUCAGCGCCCUUGGAGAAAGCCCAAAGGCCCAAGGCGCAUGUUUCUCAAAUAGCCGCCUUACUAAACCUCUAGAACCUUCUAGAAACCGCCCAAAAUACCUAAAUAUCCCUAUUACUUGGAGACUAAGCAACCAAAACCCAAGCCCAUAGAAGGCUAUAAAUACCACCCUUCAGAACACUCUCAGGUAUCCAAUAUUCAGUAUAAACCCUAAGAGACGAUUCUUAACCUAGAAUCCUUAUUGUACUUUUUCUGCAAGUACAGUUGGCGCCGUCUGUGGGAAGAGGUAAAACUAACCUCGACCACGUUUCUGAAUCAGAAUCUGUGAUUUGGAAACCCUCGACCACGCCUCCUUUCAACUUUCAUGUUUACCAUCAUGACACCAACCCUGCUUCAUGGCCUUCCUGCUCCGUCGACGCCGCCGAGAUAGAUAGGAAAGCCAGCCCUUGUCGUAAGUCGCCUAAAUAUCAAUAAUACCGUGUCAGGUUGUUACUUUCUAACUUUGUUACUCUCCGUUCAUCCUUUUGUUGCAAUUCUUAAAUUAACGUAAGAUUAUUAUGAUUGGCUCCUGACCUAUAUUAUUUGAGUCACGUCGGAAUUUAGUUUUCUGCUAUUACUAUACUUUAUGUCCGUCGUUUGUGCGACAUGUAUAUAAUUUGGCUAGCUUCGAUAUACGUGUUUUCGGUUUUAUCAUAUGUUCGAUUUUUGAUUUAUCUGAUUGGAAUUCAGUUUUGGUAGACUAAAGCAAGCCGACAUAAUAUUGUCUUCUUUGAUGCGAUUCGGUUUGAUAUAUAUGAAGAUUUGUGUCUUUAGUUAUUUAAUUCUUGUUAAAAUCCAUAACAGUAAGAACCGUGCUAUUACUUGUUUCUAACUUCUAUUUCCCAACAUAUGGAUACUGCCGUAUUCAUAUUAGACUUUCUUAUCCCUCUAUUGGAGUAAAAUUCUUAAUUGACAAACAUAGUGUUCUCUGGCAUUUAUUUGACUUUAUUAUGUGCAAAUAUCGCUAUCAUAUAAAUAUAAGAUAAAAGAUGUAUAUAUACAGAUGCUUUCGUAAAUUAUUCAUCGCAUGCUUGGGUUUUUAACUGCACAUGUGUCAUUAAGUUUUAACUUACACUACUAGUUUUUAACUCACUCAACUAAAGCGAGAUUAUUGUUUACGUGAUACGUAAUGCCCAAUAUUUAAUCUACUACUAGUUUUCAUAUCUGCAUUGGUUUUUCGGUGGAUAUAUAUAUGCACUGUGCUGCAAUUGGCUUAUAGUUUUUUUGGCAAUAGUCUAGUAUGAUAAUUGAUAUUUUGGAGACAAUAGGUUGGACAUUCAUCCCUGAUUUCAUUAAUACUACAGCAAGGUUGUUGUACUUCCUAAGUAAUUUUCAGGGCCUCAAGAUUCAACAAACAAACUCAAUUUCUCACCUACAUCAACCCGGUUAUAAGUGAAAUUUCCAGGCGGUACGAUAACACAACAUGGCGAUUUCUACAAAAUCAGCUCCCUUGAAGCCAUCUCGUAUCAGGUACUAUUGUUCCAUUAAUUUUGUUGAGCACUACUUUUUGACAAGGUACUUCCUCUCUUUUUUCUAUCUUCAUCGGUGAUUUGGGCCAAGAUAGCACUUAUUCAAUUAGUUUCAAAUUUUCAAUUACUAAUUUUGGAGGCACGGUUCUACUUCUGCUAUAUAUAUGAUAAAGAAAUACUUCUGCUAAAAGGAGUGUAAAAGCUAAAGGAAGAGACUUUUAGUUGAAGUAUAUUGUAUAUUGGAUAGUUAGUUUCUAUUGAAUAUGAUUGCAUAUGAUUAAGGACUCGUUUAUUUAUGAUAUUGAUUACUUUGGAAGUUUGAAAGAAUUGUUAUAUUUCAGAUAAAUCAAGGUUGGGAUACUAACAAGCCCGCCAAGGGCUAGAUGAAUAAAAGGAGAGAACUCGCCAAUCAACACGUCAUAAUUAAACGAGCAUGGAAGCAAUAGUCCCGCCAUAGAAAACAUAAAGAUGAAACGCGGAGUUAUAUCCUAAAAAUAACUUUUUCGACUUUUGAGAUUUGUUUUGCAGGUUUUUAAUGAGAAGAUUAUCGAGAGACCGCCCAAACUGGGUCAACCUUUUUAAGGCUCUGACUCGGCGGCCCGAUAAAGGAGAAGUAUCGACAGACCGCCCAAACUGGGUCAACCUUUUUAAGGCUCUGACUCGGCGGCCCAAAAUUGAAAAAUCGACAGUCCGCCCAACAUUGAGUCAACCUUUUUAAGGCUCUGACUCGGCGGCCCGAUAAAUUGAAAAAUCGACAGUCCGCCCAAUAAUGGGUCAACCUUUCUAAGGCUCUGACUCGGCGGCCCGAUAAAUUGAAAAAUCGACAGUCCGCCCAACAAUGGGUCAACCUUUCUAAGGCUCUGACUCGGCGGCCCGAUAAAUUGAAAAAUCGACAGUCCGCCCAACAAUGGGUCAACCUUCCUAAGGCUCUGACUCGGCGGCCCGAUAAAUUGAAAAAUCGACAGUCCGCCCAACAAUGGGUCAACCUUUUUACGGCUCUGACUCGGCGGCCCGAUGAAGGAGAAGUAAGAAGAAGAUUCACAAGUAAUCAAAGAAUUCUAUUCUCGUGUGCAAAAAUCAUUCACGUAAAGUAUAAAUGGUGAAGGCCAUCUUUGCAAUUUGAACAUCUGGUUAUAAGCGAAAGUUCUUAUUAUGAACAAAGUUGAUUAUGAAAUUUAAACUUCAUCAACUGUGUUAAGUUAAGGCCGCCCUAAGAGGACGCCCUAAUUCGGUUGACAUUUUAACUCAUCAUCCCAGUCAAAAUCGUAGUCUUAAAAGACAAACAACGAUAUGAAGAAAUUUACAAAAUCAUCAAAAAUACUCACCAUCUCGCUCGAAACAUGAGAACGCCAAUGAGAUCACUUUAGAACUGAAGCACCACGCCUUGUACCAAGACUUGUGCUUGGGGGCUGUGGACCGUCAUAAUAUUCCGAAGAGCUUAGAGACCCUCGGAAGGAUCUUAAACGCCUUCUUAAGGACCUAAAAAGGUCCUUCAAAAAGUCUGUGGGUUCCAGACGCGUUCUCAAAAGACGUCGCCUUUCUGGACCCAAAAAAAAAAAAAAAAAAGUUUGCCUAAAUCUAUUCUCCAGCUCUAAAGCACCACGCCUUGUACCAAGACUUGUGCUUGGGGGCUGUGGACCGUCAUAAUAUUCCUAAGGACCUAAAAGACCUCCAAGGGCUUCUUAGACCCUCAGAAAGGACUCAGCGCCCUUGGAGAAAGCCCAAAGGCCCAAGGCGCAUGUUUCUCAAAUAGCCGCCUUACUAAACCUCUAGAACCUUCUAGAAACCGCCCAAAAUACCUAAAUAUCCCUAUUACUUGGAGACUAAGCAACCAAAACCCAAGCCCAUAGAAGGCUAUAAAUACCACCCUUCAGAACACUCUCAAGUAUCCAAUAUUCAGUAUAAACCCUAAGAGACGAUUCUUAACCCUAGAAUCCUUAUUGUACUUUUUCUGCAAGUACAUAUAUGAAACCAGAAUUUUUAAACCGUACAAACCUCUUAAAGCGCUAAUCGACAGAGCCUUGUUGACACCAAAAUUAUCAAUUUGCUGAAACGCAGUUGCUGGUUGUGAAAGGAAAUUCACAAAUUCAACCGAUAUAUACGAUGGUAUGAAUAUAAUCUGAUGCAAAUGAAUUUCGAUGUUAAUAAGAAGGAUAUUUAUAGGAGGUUCUCAUCUAAUGAUAUGAAUCGAAUAGGUUGGUGGUUUAUGUUAAAGUUGGUGGUUAACAACCUAUUUGAGAGUGUCAUACAAAGUCAGGAACUAAUUUGGUGGUUUAUGUUAAAGUUGGUGGUUUACCAUAAAUAAACUCCACACAUCUUUGCAAAUUUAGUGAGAGAAAAAAAAAACUGAGAGAAAUUAGACAGUGAAUUCAAUAAUAUAAUAUCUCAACCAAAUCCUUACAUUUGAAACUUCAUAUUUGAAACAAUCUCUUAGAUAGAAAGAUGUGUGCAGGCAUAAGACAGUAAUCAAUAACCACAUGAAAGCAUUAUUCAGAGCACGUAAUAAAUCAAAUAUAGGUUCUAAAAGUGGCUUAAUAUAAAUAAUAUAAAAGGAGAGUUCCAAAUAAUUGUUUGAUACUAAUUUUCGUUCAAAUCGCUAGUGGUUGGCAAUACAGUUACAAAAGCAAAGUAGCACUAAGCACCAUCAAUCUCAAAAUCAUCUUAGAGGUGGAGAGUGAUUGGACUCAGAACACAAUUCAAUUCAUAGAAAGGGAAAAGCUAUUACCUUGAGAGAAACUUUGCAAAAUUAGCAAAUCUGAACAGCGACGGCUUCUUUCUCUUUAUAUGGAGUGGCAGGUUUUAGGUGGAAAAAUUGUGUUGUUCUUUUUGUUUGCCUGGCUGAUACGAUGCUGCAGACGACAACGGCGAAGGUGAUGUCGGAAUCGAGAGCAUUGGUGAAGGGUGACGAUAGGAGAGAGCUGCGGCGACGGAGAGAGCGGCAACGGCAGAGGAUUUUGUUUGAAUGUCUGAGAGUGAGGUGGAAGAUGAACAACUCAAAGGGGAAAGAGAUUUUUUUGAGUAAAAGCAAUCUGAAUUUCAACACAUAAAGAAGGAAUAAUGGGAGAGGAGAGAAGAGAACUUAAAAAUGAAGGAGAAAGAGGUGGACAUGAUAAGUGUGGAGUCAAUUUGGGAAUUGGAUGAUAAUUAAUGAGUCAAAACUUGGAUAAGUGCAUAGGAAAUAUACAUUAAAUUUGAAAGUUUGACUCAGAUUAGAUCAAAGGAUGAGAUGCAUGCUUAGCCAAAUGAUGAGAUCCAACGGCCUCCCUUGUUUUGGAGCCAAAACCAUUUAGGUUUAGGGUUUUCAAAGUCAUUAGCAAUGUUAACAAAGAUUAGAUAUAAGUAUGAUAUAAUUUAAUAUUUUUCCAAAUAUAAAGGAUCUCCAAGUAGCAAAGGAUUCUAGUAUGAAAUCAAGACCUUGUCUGGCAGCAAGGAAGUAUUACAUUUAUUCAAUGUAUUGCCUCUUUUGGGAAAACUGAGAAAGGUUGGGUUCGGUUUACAAUAUAGAUUCGCAGAGUAAGAUGAACUUGCACUUGCACUUUUUCUGCCAAUUACUAAGUUGAUAUAAAGCUUUAAAAUAUUUAAGGGGUUCCAUUCAAAUGUAUGCGAGGUAUGUUACCUGUUCAGCGCGACAAGAUGAAGAUAGCGAGGAGGAGCAGAGGCUGGCAAAGCGGCAGAGGCAGGUGCAACAGAGGAGGAGGCAGGCAUGGAGAAUUGCGAACGAUAGCUGGUGUUCAUCGUGCCCUUUUCAGAUUCUUCAACCUACUUAGUAAACGCCAAUCACAAACUCUUAUUAGAUGUAUAAAUCAACCUUGACAAAGAUAAAUUUUAUUUAUAAGAUAUAUUAAUUCACUAAACACACAAGACACGAUAUAACCAAUACAAAGAUACAAAUAAUGAGCCAUUAUUAAAUAUUUCAAAUCAUAUGUAAGAGAGGUACACAUUGUUCUUUAUAUGAUCAAAUUAAGCUACUAUUCUGUCUUUUUCCAAUAUGUCACUGAUUAAUGGCCUAGCUUUAUGAUCAUAUACUCAUUGUAGUGUUUAGAAUGUUUAUAUUUAUAUACUUAAACUUCUGAUCUUUUGUGCUUAAAUUGUGCCAGCAUCAAAUAUCCCUGAUGGAUGGGAUUGGAUAUUGGACCUGAUUCCAUUAGAACCACGAAUGAAGGAUUCGACAAGUGUCGCACCAUCAUUUGGGAUCAAAUCAAGAACUUGAUUGAAUUUGAAUAAUCCUAAGCUUUAAGUUUCUAGCGAAGUUAAUAUAAAAAAGUUAAAUUAAUUAGGAAACAUUCCACCACACCAUAUAACCAUUUUUCUUUAACUUGAUAUUCUCAAUGAGAGUUAGAAUUAUACGAGAUGGAGUAUGUGUUGCAAAAGAUAACUUAUAUAAAAUACCAAGUGAUCCUUCUGGUACUCUACUAAGGAAAAUGUGUAUACAUAGUUUCCUUUCACUAUGAGUUUUCUUCCAUCAUGAUCGCUGCAGUGUCUCCCUCUUUAUACACAAACACAGACGUUGGACACGACACGGGGACACCGACACACUGACACAGAUAAUAAUUUAAGAAAAUAAUAUAACUCAGUGAUCAUAAGUGUCGUGUCGGUGUCUGACACCGAGACACCUAAUCCAAGAAGUUUUUGUAUUCAUGUACUAUCACCAUCACUAUUCUCAUUAGGUCUCCUACAUAUAUGUACUGAUAAUUCAUAAAUUUAUUCCUUCUAUGUCGUUAUCUCGGUUGACCGUGAUCAGAACUUUGAUGAAUAAAUGUGUCAUAUAUAUGCACAAUACGGUCUGUGUCUGUCCAUUUCCCUAAGCUAUGCUUCCACUAAAAGAUUUUUUUUUUUUUUUUUUAAACAAUAAUACUAACUUCUUUUCUUCAGGAAAGUUGACUCAAACUUAUAGCAUUUCAUUCAUAAGAAUAUUGUUAACACAAGCAGGACUGGACUGUCAAUCAAUAUUUUUUAAACUAGCUAAAGAUGUGGCUACUCUUACUAAAGCAUGCGCAACCUCAUUUGUUUGCCUUCUAACAAACUCUAUAAAGAGAACUAUGAAGGUGUUUAUAUUAACGAAUGAUUUGAUCAAACUCAGACAUAAAUGUAAUUCACGAACCCGUUCCAGAGCCGAUAAAAGACCGAGAGCUUUGCCAAUAUCCACAUCACAAAUUGGAGUAAAACUUUUGGUUUUAGGAAGCAUGAAUUGACCUUGAUCAUCCCGGAUACAAAUCCCAAUAAUAAUCUUAUUCAAAUUGAUUGAAAAAGAGGCAACCGGUUUUUUCAACUUCAAUUUUGUCCCUGCAUCAGAAAACAUGGCAGUAGCAUCAGCUGGGACUGCAUCGGCUGCAAGAAACUAUCCCAUCUGUGACAGCAAAUGCAGACCGUGCUGCAGAGUGACAGCAGCAGCUCUGCUGCAGCGUGCAAGGUCCCAAUCAUCGAAUCAAACCUUUGCUUGAUCAAUUGCUUGAUAACUCUAUCCAAAAUCAAACAACAAAACAGUCCAAUUUUCAUCAAAGGUAUCACACAUAACACAGUUUUCCGAGCAUGUCGAAAAAAAGAUUUGCCACAGCGCUACUAUUGCUAAUUAAAACAAACUAAAGGAGUAUGCAAUCUGAACAAUGUGACAAAAGGAGUAUGCAAUCUUCAUCAAAGGUAUCAAACAUAACACAUUUACAUGGACUGUUUAUUGCAAGAUCACGCAACCGAGAUCUGGUAGGCAAACAUUUACGACAUAUCUGCCAAAUCAGAUUUUUGACUUUAGCUGGUGCCCAUAACUUUCAAAUGAGAUUCCAUCGACCAUGAACUAUAUGAUGAGUUGGAUCAAUUAAUUCAUCAAUACAGUGUCGGUGAGCACGUCUAAUUGUAUGUUCUCCAGUCACCAAAUACUCAUCAUAUCCGUGACAACUGAAAACAGCAAUUCCUUUAUUUUUAUUUUUUUAAUACCAUCGGUGUAUGUUGUAUAUAUUUACAUAGGUUUUUAGUUUUACAGAAUGGAAAUGCAAGUUGUUGGUUGUUUAGUUACAUCAGUGUAUGAUGUAAUUCCUUUUAAUCUGAUGGAGAGUUCUGAUAAAAUCUUAGCGCUCAUAGAAUAACUAAAACUGUCUCCUAUUUAUCCAUUGAACAUGUCAAUUUUGGUUUUCAAUAUAAAACUUCAAAUCAUGCAAUUACAUCAUUGAGUUUGUACUAUCUAAAAACAAGUUGUACACUUUAAAUCUUAAACUUGACUAAUAGUACAAUAUCGAGCUACAUUGGCUGAAAUCUGUAAUCGCAUGUAUAUCGUGUGUUCUGUGUUUUCUUUUCUUUCGUGUCUUUUUAUCGUUGAACCAGAUUUAUGUUCUAACACUAAUUAAAUUCUCUACUAGUUAAGAUUAAGCAAAAAAGGUCAUAAAACCAUUGUAGAAUACUUAAGAAUUAAGAAACAACGGGAAAGAAACGGACGGAGAGUGAGAGAGAUUACGAUAAGGAUUUCCAAUAAGGAUCUUGAUGGUUUCUUUUAACAAAUAUUUUAUGCCUUCUCACUCAACAUAAUAUUUCUUAUUUUUAAUGAAUUGUUUGAUUUUCAAAGAGUGUACAAGAUGUUUGGAGUAAGAGAUUACUUAGAAAAACGUAAUCUAGUACCGAUUGUCGUUCGAUGGAAUCUUUGAGUACUUGGUUUACAUUUUGGAUCUUGUCAGUAUUUGCAUGAUAACUCUAAAAUUCCAUAACAAUGAUUCAGUUAAUAAAUAAUGAUGAAAGCACAAAAUAAGAUGUACUGAAGUUCAAACUGAUAUACUCAAAAACUCCCAUAAUAAGCUGUCUCAACACAAAAUAGAGAACAUAUGCAUAAUAUAAUUAAAAUAGAAACCAACACAAUCAAAAUGUGUCAUAGAAAGAUUUAUCUUACACUAAAGAGAACUUAAGCCUUAACUUGAUAAUAAAAUGAUAAAUCAUAGCAGCUAUGCUCUUAAAUCUUGAGAGCGAAAACGUUAAGCUUAGGCAACAAAUACCUAAUUCUUUAUUCCUCUCUGAUUGGAAUAAUAUUUUUCUUGUAAAUUACUGUUUGAGAAGAACAUAAUCUUUCAGUUUUAACACCAAUGUUCUCAAUUACUCAAGUAGUUAAAUCAAGACAAGCAAGUUCACCAUCAUAUUUUCUCAAAACUAUAUCAACCUUCUUCCCUGCUCCAAUAGGAUGGUCGAUGCCGGACAUAGGUCCAACAUCGAAAAGCUUAGUCCAUGAUUCAUUGACACCGGGUUCUCCCAAAACUGAUAUUGAUAUGCGGAAAGAAGAAGUGUUCUUUUCAUAAGUUAUGAUCAUAGCAACAAAACCAUUUAACGUUGUCAAGUGUUUAUCAAACCAUUUUAAACCGUGCGAAUCAAAGGGAAAGAGAGUGGUAACAGGAACCUCAUUGGCCAGGUCAAAAGACACCACAAAUGUUUCAAUUGGUUGACGAUAUAUUUUUCCCCACCAAUGGCAAACCCCAUUUAAGUACACCAUAGAACCUUCCGAAGUCAAAUAACGUUGUCGCAUAUCAACGUAAAGUUUCUUCCAAUGGUUACUUCGUAGACUAUAUAUGUCCCAAUGGGUGGCGGGUGGUGCCACUUGAUCCCAAUCAUCUUCAAUAUAAACAACAUGCUGAAGGACCUUAUAAUCAUCUCUAACACGAUCAUAACCAAAUCCAUGAAUAGUAAAAUAAGAUUCAUGUUUAUACAUCGGAGCCUUCUUUUCGGGAAUAAUUUUUAAUUCCUCGGUAGCGGGAUUCCACAACACAGUAGUUGACGUAUCGUGAGCAUCAUAGAUGCAAAGAGUACCAUUAAUACUUGAACCUAAAAUACACGGAUAACAGCCACGUUUUUGGUCAAAAGGAUGUGGCCACUUCAUUUGAACUUUGUUCUCAAAUCUCUCACCAGAAAGAAAAUACAACUUCCAUUCAUAGUUUAGAAGGAGACUUGCUUCGUCAUACAAUGAAUGAUAUUUGAAAACAAUAUUUUUGUAAAACAUGUUCAUAAAAUAAGGGUUUUCAAAUAAAAGAGUCCAAGACUUGCCUAAACAAGUAAACCGAUUCAAAGAUUUUAAAGGUAGUUUUGAAAAAAUAGAAAAGACGAUAUCUUCAGGAACAUGGUUACUAACCUUUUGGUUUGUUGGAGCCAUAGGUUUCUCAAUAUGAGGCAGAUUACUUUGGAAAAAUCAGAUGCAAGAUUGAUGCGGUAAAAGAGUCUUAUUUAUUAAUUUUGUUAGAUAAUUUUUUUCCAGUUCAUUUGCUUUAUUAGAUUAUUUAACCUAACAAAUUUCAUCUAAGCAUUGCACCAAUUUCAUUCCUAUCCUCUUUUUUUUUUUUUUUUAAGGAAAUAUUUUCAUUUGAUGCUGCAUAUUUGUUCUAGAAACCAUGAGCAUAUCUUUAUCCUUAUUUAUUAAUUUUGUUAGGUCUAGAGUAAUUUAACCUAAUUUUCUACACUUAUUUAAUAUGUUUACAAACAGAAUAUCCUAAUUUCCAUGUAAAUUUUGUUAUAUAUAAAGCUUUAAACGUGUUUCUCUCAACAACAAAAAAAACCCUAACCCGUGUAAACAAUCCGCACACAACACAAAAAUCAUAUAUUUUGAUAUUUAGAGUUUUGCAAAUCGAAAGACGUGACCUUACAACUUAUUUUUUCCACCGUUACCAAUUAUGUAUUGCAUUUUAUUAUUCGUAUGUCAAUCCCUUUACAAUAAACUCGAGCAGAGCACGGGUCAAAAAUCUAGUUGCGUUUUAAUAUACUUAUUUCCUAGAAAAAUGUUAACCUAAUCUUUUCUACUUGUCAAAAAAAAACCUAAUCUUUUCUAUAAGCAACAAAAAUAUUCUGAAUUCUGUCAAUAGACAAUUUUACUGAAUUGAAAUAAUAUUCACAAAAUCAAGGAAAUAUUAACAAUUUUAUUUAUUUAAUUUUUUUUUAAACGAACAAUUUUUUUUAUUUUUAACCAGCGUCUAAUGUGUAUAUGUGUAUAAAUUAUGAACAAUAUUUUUUGUGAAAUUUUGAAUAAAAUUAUUUUAAUUUUCAUUCAAAUCACAGGAAUAGAUGAUAAAUAGUUUUCCUUCAAAAAAAAAAAGAUAAUAAAUAUUUUACACUUUCAUAUUAUAAUAAAGUAUAUUUCUCACUUGAUAAAACAAUGCAUUAUUAUAUGCAGGGUCGGGGUUCGAACCCCGGACAUCCCACUUAUUCACCUUAUAAGGUGAAUUCUAGUCACUAGACUACCUGACAAAAAAAAAUUAUACUUAUCUUUUUCGAUCAUAUCAACAAUAUCACAAAUACAAUAUCUUUCAAAAAAAAGAUAACAAAUAUAAUGUAUUUUUAUCUUUUUGAAUGACAUCAACAAAAUGACAUUUAAAUAUUCAAAUUUAUUUAAGGGUAUAAUUGAAAAGAGAAAAAAACUAAUCCAAAACAUCAUUUUUUUUUUCCGGUCAGGUAGCCUAGUGGCUAUAAUUCACCUUAUAAGAUGAAUAAGUGGGGUGUCCGAAGUUCGAACCCCGGCCCCUACAUAACUGAGCCAUGAUCACGGGACACAUCAUAUUUUUUUAUUUACAGUGGAGAUACAAUAUUUGUUUUUGAGAGAAUAUUUAUAUUAUUUUUUGACAAAAAGAUCGAUAAGUUCAUCGGUUCCUUAGAUAUCAAAAUGAAAAACCGAGAACCGAACCAAACAUGGUCGGUAUAGAUUGGUUCAGUUCGUUUUUUAUCCAAACCAGACAAUGUCAGAUACAUUUUUCGGUUUGUUUUGGUUUGGACUUUUGGCUUCGUCGGUUUUGUCUGAACCACUUACAUCCGUAAUUGCAUCAGAAUUUAAUGGACGAUAGGUAUUCAAAUGCAAUUUUGAAUGCGUAAUUUACAUUUUCCGAAUCUAGAGUUCGAGCUGGUUUUUGCUUGAGAGAUGAUGACGUUGGACAUUUUGUUAAACCAAUGGGGAAUAUUGUGAAUACCAAUUCUUAAAAAAAAUGAAGGUUAAUAAAAGCGAGACGAUAUUAUGAAAAUUCUGUAGGCUAGUAUACCAUUAUAUUAAAUUUUUAAGUUGUCUUGUUGCGACUUAAAAUGUUUUUGUUUUAAUUUCAAACUAUUUGUCUUUUUUUUUUUUUUUGGUACAAUCUGUUUGUCUUUUAUGUAACAUUUAUACUAAAUUUGUCUAUAAUAUUUAGCAUAAGUGUUAAACGCAAUAUUGAAUGCAUUAAAAUUACGUUACAAACUUCGUCUAGAUGAAAAACAACAAAUACAAGUCUUAUGCAGUAUUAUAAAAACAUAUUAGUCGGUGAACAUGAGGUGCAUAACCAUGUAUGUGCAUUACAAGUACUGGCUUCAAGUACGAAUACACAAUACAUGUCUAAAUACAUAACAUAUCCACCAGUACAUAUUAAUAAUAUAUAAAACGUCCACAACAUGAUUCAAAUAGCUUUCGUCUGCUUGCCCUUUCUGACAAGUCACCUGUAUAUCUGAAAAAUAAUAAAAGAAUUGGGAUGAGACAUAAUUAUUGGUUUAGUAAUUCAGUUUAGUUAGUUUUAGUUCUAUAUAAUUUGAUUAGUAGUUUGUUUAGAAACUUGCACUUGAAGUAACUAACUCAAGUUACUUGCAUGUGAAGUGAUAAGUUUGUUAGGAAUUUGUUUCAGGUUUUGUUACAUCACUUGAUGUAUAUAUACGUCAUUACUCUUGUAAUAAGAAUUCCAAUUCAUUCAAUAAAUUUUACAAGUCUUUUACUCAUCUCUCUUUCUCUUAAAACCAUAGAAACCCUAGAAUCUCAAUUCCAUCUUCUUCAAUUGAACACAGUUUUAAGUGUUGGUUUCAUUCAAUUUUCAUACAUUGUUUCAUCAAAUUGGUAUAGCAGAGCCUGGUUCGUUCAUGGGAGCGUCUAUCUACACUAUUGGUUUGAGUUGAGUUGAUAUCUGAAGAUGGAAGGAACAAUGUGAAUCAUUGGGAAAAGUGGUGGCUAGCGAAGGGAUUGUAAUUUGAAACCAUAUCUUAUUUAAUAUGAAAGUGGCGAGUUGGGGUUAACCUAUCUUCUUCCAACUUGUGGACCUUUAGACUCGCACACAUUUUCUGACAUUACAAUGGAGCUUUAACCAAUGGGGUAAGGUAUAGCUUGUGACAUUUAUGUGAGUAAAAUUGUAAUAUGAGGAUUUACUAGGCUAUAACCAAAAUAAAAUUCCUUUUCUUUUUAUGCUUAAAUAAAUUUUCUAAAAGUUUGCUAUUAAAUAACUAAAGUGUGCCUGUUUAAAUACGAGUAGAACAUAAUCAAAUCUACUUGUUUAGCUGUUUGAAUAGGUAGAACAUAAUUUAUGCGACAAGUUAAUUUCUCAUAGCAGCAAGAUAGAAAAACUAUGUAAUUACCUCGUAACUCCUCAAUCUUCUCAAGUACAAAGACAGCAAAUUGAACGAUGUUACGCCUUAAAGCAUGCCUUAAAACCUCAAAAACAGAAUGAUCAGACGGUUUAAGUUUUCGUGUCUAAUACCUCAACAAAUUGCAUCAACAAGUCAUUAGAUAAUGUUGCUAUCAUUUUGACAAAGCAAGUUGUAGAGGUCACCGGAUUAAUCAAGGAAAUUACGGUCGGGGAAGAGAUAAAAAUAAUCUUCAAGUACAUCAUCAUUGUAUCUUGAAUGAAGCUGCCAAGAGGUGGAGAUUUAGCAGAAAUUAUAAGUAGACGAACAAAUAAAAUUAACUUAAUAUAAUGUGAAACGAGAGAAGAAGAGGAAAGUGGAAUCAGAUCCAAUGAAUAAGUGAUAUUUGAAGUAAUGUGGAAGAAACAAACAAAGUGAAUCUUUGGAAACGGGUUAGUGCAAGGCCUAUUAUCUAUCUUGGUUUUGAAGUGGUAGCUGAUGAGAGUAAGAUGCAGCCGAAGAGAGGAUUCAUGUAACACGUUAUCAUCAAGCCCUCUAAUUUUUUUUUCUUUUUUUAAGAUGAUAUUAUCACAGAUGGUAGACAUUUUUAACCUAUCCAACUAAACUAGCAAAGAAUUUUAAAAACAUUAUCGGCUAAACACUCUCUAUAACAUUCAUUUUUUAUUGGAGGAAAUAUGUCUCAUCACUUUAUCUGAAUUUCAUUUCAAAAAUGUAGACCUACAUUGAUUUUAAAUUAACCAAAGAGUGAGUGUUUAAAAGAGAAUAUUGCUAGCACUACUCCUUCCACUAACAUGUUGAGAUUUGUGUGCAUGUCGAUUUAGGUACCAUCACAGAAAAUUCCUUUUGGACCGAACACGAGCAAAGAGUCAACUAGAGGUGAUAAGUCUUUUUUCUUUUUUUCUUUUUUUACUAAGAGGUGGCAAGUCUUGUAUGUUUGGAGAACUUUCUGAUCCGGUUGGACCUAAGAAGAUGGUGGGUCUAGGCAUGGCAAUGCCCUACUCCCAUGUACUUUACCGUUACCCUAUCCAUACUCAGCAGGGAUGAGAAAUCGAAUCUCAUCCCCGUCCCUGACGGGUUCGGGUAUCCCUAUCUCAUCCCCAACCCCACAGUGGAUAAUUUUUUAAAUAAAAUUUAAAGUAUUUUUUUGCCCCGAGUGCAAUGUUGUAAUGCAUUAUACAGUAAAGAGAUGAUGGUGAUCGAUAGCUAUAAUGAUGAAGAAGAAAAAGGUUGAGAGUGUGAGAUAUGGAAGAAGAAAAGAGAGAACUAUUGAUUUUCCACAUUCAGGACGAGUUUGGGUAUGGGUUCGGGGUGGAUACAUAUAUCCCUGUUUCUCGUCCCAUACCUGUGUUUUGAAAUCGGGGAAAACCCAAAUCCAUACCCAAACCCAAUCAAAGUGGGGAAAACCCGCCAAAUUGGGUUAGGUUUUGGUAGGCACCCGCGGGUAUGGGUUUUGUUGUCAUGUCUAGGUGGGUCGGAUGAGAUCCAUUGUGUGGAGGGAUCAAGCUUUGAUGUAUCCACCGCGAGUUUGAUUUUGUUGGGUCGUCCGUUGAUAGCCCUUCCCCACCAGAGUGAGUAACGGGUCGGCUGAGAUCCGUUGUAUGGAGGGAUCAAGCUUUGAUGUAUCCGCCGCGAGUUAAGGUUUUUUGGGUAAUCUGUUGAUAGUCCUUCUCCGCCAUAUGGGGUGGUGUGCCUGCAUACACUCUGAAGCCCAAGUCAGAGGGGGGAUGCAGUUAUAAGCUUUGAUCUUAUAUUUCUAAUUAUCCAAUUUUCUAAUGUACCAAUUUCUGAUGAUCGGAAAACAAAAAGUCACAGUUCUUGUAUAGUUAAUUAAACAACUCACUUUUACUUUUUAGAAGAAAACUAGCAUUUAACUAAUACAUCAUGUUGCUUUUUUUUUUUCAAAUACAAAGACUAUAACAUCAACAACAAAAACAACCCUUUUGUUGAUGAUUUCAUUGACCCUCUUUGCAAGUUGAACCUAAAAGAAACCUGAGUUUGUCAAAAUCAAGCCAGUUCUAAAUCCCAACGCAGAAAAUAGAAGAUUCAACAAUGUUUCUGCAACACAACUGAGAAAACUAGAAGCUCCUUCGACAAAUGGUAGACAGACUCCUUACUAGAAGCUCCUUCGACACCUGGUAGACAGACCCCUUUACAGCUUCAGUUCUUCUGUUGUUUUAAGAAACUUUCCCAUAAAGAGUUUUCUUUCGAAAUGGGAUUGAUGCUAAAAAAUAGCUCAUAAGCACUUCUUGUCAUGACUCACCUGCUCAUCACAACAACACUUUGAAAUUUGUCUCUGCAGAAUCCUCAAAACAUUGGAACCAGACAAUGAGAUAACAGCUUUAAGCAGAAUAUGGAAGAUUUUUCAGAGAAAUCUACUAGACCAUUAGAGAGAUACCUCAAGAACCAGACAAUGGGAUUGGUUUAUUCAGAAUCCUCAAACAUUGGAAUAAAACAAAUGUUGUAAUAGCAAAAUAUGGAAGAUUUUUCAGAGAAAUCAAGGGUCGUCAAGGAAAAAGUGCUGUCAAAAGUUGUGUAAAACAAAACCAGCUGCUACUGCAUGCUGCUUUCUGAUUAUUUGAGGUGCGACUGAGUUAGAGAAAAGAGAGUGAGUAAACAUAGGUUUCUAGUUCUACGGCUUUAUAUAGUGGCAGUAUAUCAUUCCAAUGAAGAAUUAUGCUCCAACACAUUGCAAUGAAGUUCCUAUAAUUUCCAAACAAAAAUUUGCUAGACUUGCCAAACCAUCUAAAAAAAUCCCUCAUAGAGUAGGAACAAACAGUACUAUAACCUAGAAAGGUUAUGUAAUAUGUUAAUUAAAGAUGUAGGAAACACUAAAGCAUAAGAUAUGCCAAGCAAGAAAAUUCCAAAAUACAAAAGCAAAAUUUGACCCACCACACCCAUACAAGAAAAUUUAUUUCAAUGAUAGAAACAAGGAGAUAGCAGCAACUUGUAAGAAUUAAGAUUAGAACUUGUUCAACAAUCAAAAAAUUUAAUCCACAUUCCAAAUUAGAAGUUAGAACAGUAGCAAGGAUUUUGGUCCAUGUGUAAAAAAAUGCAUGCAGGGAAUAUAAGCAAUCCAAUUAAUGUUUCAUUUUUAUGUGACAGUCCAUCAUUUGGACAACCAAGACAAAUCAUUAAAGGUGCUGAAAAGAAUGUACACAUAGAAUUUACUACUAAUAUUUUUCCAAGCAUAAAGGAUCUCCAAGUAUGAAGGAAUUCUUGUAUGAAAUCAAGACCUUGUCCAGCAGCAAGGAAAUAUUACAGUUUUUACAUUUCUUCAAUGCAUUGCCUCUUCUGGGAAAACUGAGAAAGUUUGGGUUUUGUUUACAAUAUAGAUUCACGGAGUAAGAUGAACAUGCACUCUUUCUGCUAAUGACUAAGUUGAUAUAAAGUAAUACUUCGACACCAUAUUUUAAACUCAACAAAGGGGUUCCAUUCAAAUGUAUACGAGGUAUGUUACCUGUUCAGCGCGAUGAGAUAAAGAUACAGAGGAGGAGCGGAAGCCGGCAAAGCAGCAGAAGCAGGCACAGCAGAAGUGGAGGCAGGCGCGGAGAAUUGCGAACGAUAACUGGUGUUCUUCAUGCCCUUUUCAGAUUCUUCGACCGACUUAGUAACCACCAAUCACAAACUCUUCUUAUUAGGAUAUGUAAAUGAACCUCGACAAUGAUAAAUUUAAGAUACACAAGACACGAUAUAACCAAUACAAAGAGACAAAUAACAAGCCAUUGUUAGAUAUUUAAAAUCAUACUCCCUCCGUCCCAUAAUAACUGAGUCAUUUGCAAAAAAAUAUUGUCCCAGAAAAAUUGACCCAUUUCACUUUUCAAUACAAUAUUAAUUACUUUUUUCCAAUUAUAACACUAAUUAAUACUACUUUCACCACUCCCAAUUCAAUAUAUUCUACUUUGCAUUUAUGAUAAAAAAGAAUGCACCAAUAGUUGAUAAGGACACUCAAAACCAUUUUUCUCUCUCUUUCACUUAUACACUUUUUCUUAAUAAGUGUGAAAUGAGUCAAGGGCUCAGUUAAAAUGGGACGGAGGGAGUAUGUAAUAGAGGUAAACAUUUUUCUUUAUACCAUCUAAUUAAGGUCCUCAUCCUCACAACCUUAUAUACACAAUGAUCCUUCAGCAACCUUGCCUAGGACACCCGUAGAACUUUUAUUCUUCUUAAUCUUCCUUAAACUACUUCAUUUCCUAAAUGAAACAUGUCACAAAACCAAAAGUUUGCUACAGCUUGCUGCCAAAGUAGAUCCAUUGAUAUAAUUAAUUAUCGUCCAACAAGAUUGUUACAACUAUUUUGAAUUUCUACAAUCACAUACUAGAUUGUGAAUUUAAUCAAAAGACAUGAAUAAAACCCUUUGCCAAUAGGAUUUGAGGACCCUAAAUUGUUCCAAUUUCAAACGUGGGAGGGAUAUAUGUACUAAAUGUCAAGCUAUGGCCAAUGUGGCUCAAAAACAGUUAGAUAAAAAAAUAUUUGAACACAAGGAGAUUAAAACAGGAAAAGGAUAAAAUAUGGUGCGAUGCAAGGUCUAGCCUUUUUCAAAGUAUCAAUGGUCGUUCUUAACUAGAAAAGCAGAAAAAAUGGUGCAGUGCUUACAGUUACAGCCUCGACGUUACAAAUUAAUCGGACAAAAUUGAAUUAUAUGAAUAUUAAAUCUAUGAUCAGGUAUCAAAGUAUCAAACCUUGUGGGAGAGAUUACACAAGCUCCAGUCUUACCAGAACCAGUUUGGGAAACUAAUCACUACACAUAUAGAUCAAGCCGACUAAAGGUAAGGAUGUAUCUUAUAGUAUCUAUAAGAACUUGACUUGAAAUGGAACAGUUGCAGUAACUCUUAUGAUCAUGAGAAAAUGAAAAUUGUGCAUUUCAACCAAAGCUACCAUAUCAUCGUCACAUAGCUCCGAACACAUCAAAAGUAAAAUAGAUAACAGCUAACAAGUAUAGUUGCAAAGUAACCACAUUAAACCAAGCAUACUUUCAAGCAACCUAAAUUGAAAUUAAAGCAUCAUCUGAAACUCUGUAAAACUUUUCAAAAGACCUUAUAGAAGCGGUCAUUUUAUUACUCAAAGAACAUGAUCAAACCUUUGUUUAAGUCAUCAAAUUGAGAUGAUUACAACAUGAACCAAAUCUAUCUAUCUGCUCUAAGAAAAGUAUUAUGCUAAUUAAAAUCGUGGAGUUUUACUCUUAUGCUUAAGCUUUAGGGUUUGAGGUCUGAACAUCAGAUAGACCAGUCAAAACAUCCUUAACAAACUUAAUCAAAGAACAGAGACCCCCUAAGAAAUUAUGAUCAAUAGCACCUUUAGCAUCAACCACAUGAGCAAAAUCAACAAGCUUAACAACAGCACUUGCACUCUUCUUCUCAUCCUCCUUUUCAUCUUUCUCAUAAACCACAAGAACAGAACAUGAAUAAAAAUGAAAAAUAGUUUGAACUUCAAACCAUUUCUUAAGCUCCAAUAAUUCCUCCAAAAUAGGAACAAACACCCUAGACCCAAAAACACAAUCAGGUUCAUCAACAUUACCGUCUGAAGAAACAAAUUUCCUCAAAACCAACAUCACAUCAUCAACAGAUAGAUCCAUAAGAAACUUUUUAUGAGGCUGCCAUAAUUGAUUAGUGGGACCCACUGACCUCAAACCGGAGAUUCUAAACCCUAAUUUGAUACUAGAAGAUUCUCGAUCUUUCUGGAGGCAUUUCCGGAUGUAAUCUUCAGAGGACUGUGGGUGCCAUGUUCGUGAACCGAUCUUGAUGUCGACGACGGCAGGGUUGGUGUAAUUGCUGACAAUGUCUUCUAAGACGAGGUGGGGGUGUAGACCAGAUCCGUCGGAGGCAUCGACGGUUUGAGUGCCGUGAAAAGAAGGGAAGAAUUUGAGAAUGUUGGUGGGAAUGCGUGGAUCGGAAUAGAGGGAUGUGUAGAAAGCAAGUUCAUUGGAACCUCGUUCAUCGUCUUGAAGAGGUUUGUAGAACUUUCCAGAAUCGUCUAUUAGAGGACCUAGGAUUCCGUUUUUUGCUUGGUGACCUGCAACUUGGUGCUCUGGGAUUUUCAGCUUCACCAUUUUGUUACUGAAGCUGUAUCCAUUGAACACAAAUAACAACAAAAAUUGUCAAAAAUAUCCUUACCACUAUCAUCAAGUUCUUAGUCUGCAGCAUGCAUGCAUACGUAGAAAUGAAAAUCAAUGAAUAAACGAUCACCCAAGUCCAUAAACAAUAACACUUUUUUCCAAUUUAGUCCCUAAAUUGUAUAAAUCCAUCCAAUAAGUAGUCCUUAAAGUGUAGAAGAAUUUGUCAAUUAGUCCCUGGCAACCUAUAAAGCACCGACAAAGGCACAAACAUUGGACCCGAUACGGACACUGACACUCUGACACAGAUAAUAAUUUGAGAAAUGACAUAAUUCAGUGUAACUAUAGGUGUCGGUAUCAUGUCUGUGUCGGAAACGGACGUGUGUCUGACACUGAGACACACAUAAUCAGGGGAGUGUCCGUGCUUUAAAGCUAACAACUUAAAAAAGAGACUAAAUUGACAGAUUUUAUAUAGCAUUACCUAUCAUAUUUAAUACUAAAUUGAAUAAAGGGUGAUAGUUUAGAAACUAAAUUGAUGGUUUAGUCAAAAACCAAUAGUAUCUUCGAUAUAAUCGAAAGAAUAAAAGGCUAUCUAAGAAGCAUAUGCUUACAUUUCAGUUUCAUGCAUAGUGUGACGCUCAAAACUUUAAAACAUGACUCAAUGAAAUUCAAAUCGGCAAUGCACAAACCAGAUACACAUAACAACAAAAUCCCCAUCGGCAAUGCACAGAUUACUUACAAUGUUCAGAUUUCCCAAUUUUGAAGAAAUCCAAAAAAAAUCCCAAAAUAAAAAAAAUAAGAGAGUUAUUGAUUUGUGUUUUUGAAUUACCUUGAUGUUCGGUGAUUAGCAGAUUGAGGCGAAUCAGGAGGGGUUGGUUCAUGGGUGGAGGAGGGUUGAAGACGAGACAGAAACAACGAUGAUGUGAUUAUGAUCACAAUAUCACAUGAUUCUGUUGCAGGCAGGGGUUUUUGAAGUCCGCAUGGUGUGUGUGUGUAUCAUAUGAUUCUGUUUCAAAAGGGGAUUUUUGACAAACCACAAAAUAAUUAUCCUCGUUCUCUUUGUCUCCGCGAGCUUAGUUCAGGUGAGAACAAAUGCAUAAUAUAUGCAGCGUCUGAGGUUCGAACCUCUGAACAUCCCACUUCUCCCUGUUAAAUAUGUGUGAGCUCCAACCACACUAAGCUACAUCAAAAAAAAAAUUAUGUUUUAAAAAAUUCUUUUUUCCAAAGAAAAAUUAAAUACAAAGUGCAUUCAAUUUGCUCUCUUUUUCAUUUUCUCAAUGAAAAUUGUUUUUACAUCUUCUUAUAAAAUUUAUUUCAAAGAUAACAAACUAUGUUCCAAACUAGUACUUUAUUUUAAUAUUCUUAAUAAUGUGAUUUUUUUUUUUUUUAUAAUAUGAGACGGUGGAGUAUAUUAGUUCAGAUCAAAUUUAGUUAGUCUGACCGUAAAGAAUACUUACAUUUUCCUUAAAGUUAUAUAUUUUGUCAACUAUACCCUUGAGUUAAUUACUAAUCCAUUUUGUAUAAAUAAAGUGGUUACUUUUUAUUAUGUGUCACAAGGGAUUUUGAUGAGGCUGUCUAAAGUGAUUUACUAAUGAAUUGAAAUGCUUAUUUAUAGAUAAAUUUAAUAAUAUACAUAGAUUAGGGUCGACGUAAUAAUCUUCAAAAACACGUGAGAUUUAAAGUAAAUUUUGAUAUAUAAGGUCUAUUUUAUCUGCACAGCGAGGUCUUUUUGCUUAUAAAAUUUAAUGAAAAAUAAUUUUUUAUUGAUAGGUCUAAAGUGAGGGCUUUAGUUGCCUUAUCCUUGAGUCGGACUGUACAGACUCCCUAAAAAAUAUACGUUAUUCUCAAAGUAAAAUCAGUAGUAAACAUAUAUUUUUUCAGAGAUUUAUUGAUAGGAACAAUAUUAACAAACAAACUCAUCUUUGCUAAGUGGAAAAAGUUAAAUAAACAACAUGUAUUUUUACUACAAAAUGUACGAAAAAUUAGCCAGCCAAAAAAUAAACACCUAAGCUUUAGCCAGUGUCAAUGGAGAGUAUGCCAUCUGUGUGCUUCAUAUCUUUAUAGCCUCAAGUUAAAAGUUAAAAGAUGAAGCUUUAUUGCUGUGAGGAUAAAUCAUGAAAUCAUCUGUGUGCUUUCCCUCUGUGAUAAGAAUCAGAAAUCAAAUCAUGAAAGCAAAUUUGAGCUGCCUCAAGUUUAAAGAACACAAGAAACACAUGUGUGAUCCAUAUUCAUACUGGUAUAGCAAGAAUAAUGAGUGACUAUCAAGUUGAUUAUAUAAAAACUAAGUCUGUGACUUCAAAAGGAUGUAGCAUUUGAUUUUAUUUUUUUUAAUUAAUUUCUUCUUCAAGGAUGAAUUAAAUAAAGGAUGGGCUGCUAAUGGGGGAAACCACACAUAUCAAACAAGAAGAGGCAUGGUUAUAAAAAUUGUCCUAAAACCAAUCAUAUAGCUGAAAUCAAAAUCCAUUCAUUACAAUUUUAAGUAUUCAUUCAUGUAAGAUUCACUAAUAGAGCAGUUAGUGCAUGUUAAGGGUGAAGGGAAGAUAAAAUGUGUUCAUUGUAACAAAGAGAAGAUAAAAACUAGCUAAGGUGAUAUGCAUUUUCGGAAAUAAUGAAAAUAGGUCUUUUAACGGUCUCUUUUUUGUUUAAUGACAAGUAACAUCAACACAACCAAGCCCGUCUAGCUCAGUUGGUAGAGCGCAAGGCUCUUAACCUUGUGGUCGUGGGUUCGAGCCCCACGGUGGGCGAUUGUUUGUUUUUUUGGGCUUAAGCCCCAUGUAAUCACAAAGAUAACCAACUAAAACUAACACAAAUUUAAGAAAUAUAAAUAAAAAAUAAUUUUACUACUUGUAAAACUAACAUUGCUCUGAAUUACAUCAAAAACAUCUAAAAAAACUGUUUGGUUGGUUUACAAAAUGUCUUCCUUAGUAAUCACCGGCUCCGUAACAUUGUUUUUCUUUUGGAAAAAAUCCAUAAAAUAAUUCUUAGCAACCAUACUCACACUUGAAUUCUCAGUUACCUUAUUACCAUGAUCAUCUUCAAGAGAGGUAAUUCGGUUUACUUUCUUUGGCAUGAAAAAAUUUAUUAUUUGGAUCAUCAUCUUUGUAGUAGUGUGUCUUUGCACUUUGAUGCCAGUAUGAAUCAUCUUGCACAAGCAAUUGAGUCAUUCACUUUCACAAGGACAUGUUAGUAUAUUGAUUGCCAUAUAUGGACCCAUUUUCAACAUUUGGAAAAAUACUACUAGCUCAAGCUUUUUUUGAAGGAUACUAGCUCAAGUUAGAGGAUAAAAUGACAUUUAUCUUUUUCUUUAAAAAAAAAAAGGGAUGCAUCAUCUUUUUUUGUAAGUGCAAAAUUUUUACUUCCUCCAUUUCACAAUAAGUAUCAAUUUAAUAAAGAAAGUCAUUAUUUAAUUAUAAUUUUUUUUUAUUGUACCUCUAAAUCUCUAAUCAGUAAUUUUAUUAUUUUUCCUUAUGCGCAUGUAAAAAUCUUUAAGAAAUAGUCAUCUUGAAAUAGAACUAUUAAACCUCUAGCAAUAACUAUUCUAGUAACAAACAACCAAAAAUCUACAUCAAUACCAUGAAGUAACUAUGAAAUAAAACAAAAUAGGGAAAUAUAAAAACUGAAUCACUUCAGCCAAGCACCGAAAACCUGCAAAAUCAGAAGCAUCAAACUGUAAACUGAAACAGCAGUAGUAAAUGACAAUAAGGAAAAUGGAUGAUCUCAAUUUUUUUUCAAUUUCAAUCUUUAAAUGAUUUUUCUCCUUUCUUUUAAAAUUUUAAUGUUAUCCUCCAUUUAUAUUUCAAUGGUGUAGAUUUUCACAUUUUUUUCCAUGGUUUUAAAAAAAAUAAAUAAAUACAUUUGAAAGGAUCUUAAUCCGACAAUGACACAUAGCUUUUUGCAUCACAUUAUCAUUUUAUUUUAUUUAUCUUGCAUUUUUUUAAUCGUUCAAUUAUUUCAUGUUGAUGAUUGUUAUGUACUAAUUCAAACUUACUCUGAAAAAUAUAUUUUUUUUUUAGCUAAAGUGGUAUUUUCUUCAAAGAUAUUGUUAUUGCUUUUUGUCCAAUCAAAAUGUACAUUCAAUUCAACGAGUCGAAACUACAUUUUGAACAAAACGUUCGGAUUAUUAAGUGACCAUCAAAUACUUUUUUGUUAAUUAGGGAUUGUUUUGGGAAAGAGUUGAAAUGAGUUUUGUUAUUUGAAUUUGCUUGAGACUUUUAAUAGGGAGAGACGACACAUCUCCAUCAAACAUUAUAAAACAUUAGAUAGAUAUGUGGAUCAAUCUCUUAUAUUCAACUUUGAAUUCAUUAAUAUAUGAGAUUUAACUAAUCACAUUUGAAUUCAAUAAUCUCUCUCAAAUGUGACUCUCCAACAUAAUAUACUUGUACUACCGUUUACACAAAAAGAACACCGACUCUCGCUAAUCAAGACUCUAAUAACAUUUGUUGUGGAGUUUGAGAGAAUACCAGAAGGCGACAACAAACCAAUGAUUCAAGACUAUAAGAGAGAUGCAACAUCUCCACCUAAAAUCUUAAAUAUUAUAUCUAUGAAUUACAUCUCUUAUUAUUUACAUUGAGUUUAUUCAUCAUUGAUGUAAAACUUAAUUAUCCACACUUAAACCUCAAUAUAUAUAUCUUACUUUUUAUUUUUAUAACUUAAAAUCAUUUAAAAAAUAUACAUAAAAAAUAAAAUACACCCUAACAUAAAAAUUUCGAAAUAAAAUACCAUUUCUUUUUGUAUACAAGCACUUAUAUAUAACUCAGAUUAUCUGAAUGAGAUUAACAAGGAUGCACAUGUUAUGUCACCUGCUAGCUAGUAAAAUCAUUCUUAAAUCACAUGUAGACUUGCCCACGUAAAUUCUUAUCGUACGGAAAAUUAUGUCUAAGCCUAAUAUAAUGAAUAAACUCUCAUUUUAAUCUUUAAGUCUAGAGAUACUUUUGAAAUUUGAAUAAAUUCAGAAACUAUAAAGAAUUUAUGAUAUCGUCUCAAUCAUUUAGUGAUGAAAAUGAUUGUUUACUCCUAAUAUAAUAGAGACCAAUGGUCUCAGCUAGUUGUUCAAUUCUUGCAGAGCUGAGCUUGACUACACUACAAAACCUUCAUAAAGAGGCUUGAAUGUGACAUGAUAUAUAUGAAAACAACCAAGAGUACAAUUUUUAGCUGUUUUCACUUCAGUUUCUAUGAAAUAUUCAGAUCAAGAUCUCAGUUCUCAUAUUAAAAUUAUUAUAUAGUUUACAAAACAAACACAUAAAAUUAAGAAACAGAUCUGUCAAUGCUUCAAGAUUGUCUACUAGUUUGGUGUAUUUGUAUUCUCUUAAUAUUAUUAUUUCAUUAUUAUAUUGACAAUAGUCGGUUUUGGAACAAUUUUAGAUUGAAGACAAAUGAUUAAGUCCUUUUUUUAAGGGUCCUACCCUUCAAAUAAUGGUGCUCUUUUUUGGUAAAGCUAUGAUAUAAUCAAGAAUCUUGCACACUUUCUUAAAUUAAUCUUGCUCUCCAGCAUAAUAAUUUUGGCACUAGGAUUUGAGAUUUGAUUUUCAUUUUGCCACUUAGUGCAUGUCCCUAGGCAUCACUUUUAAUAUCUUUUGUUAUUAUUCAAAUAAAUAAGUAUACUAUGACUUGUGAUCUUACUUAUAUGGUGAAUAGAGCAUAUUUUCACACCUUCCAGAGCAUGUAUAGGUCAGAAUUUGAUUCAGGAAAACCUAGACCCAUAUGAAAUGAAUUUGACUCUGUGAUAUUAAUCAGUGUAUACUGUAUACCAUGACCAUAUGUUGAUGGUCUGACGGAUUCAGAGGUCUAUAGUAUACUAUAAAUAUUUUGACUAAAAUAAAAAGAACACCGUUAUAUCGUUAUAUCAGACACAGUAUGAAAUAAGCUGAUUUUUUUUUUGGCUAAUAUAUUUACCCCAUGUAAUAUUAAUGAUUUUUGGUUUACCUUCUUGUAAAAAAAUUUGUUUAAAUUCCAAUCUUGUAAUUUGAAGAUUUUUUAUUUUGAACCUUUAUGAAUUUUGACAGUACAAAAUCAAUGAUAUGGCAAGGGGUAACCUGAAAUAUCGAUGAUAUGGCAGGGGGCAAACUGAAAUUUUCUCAAAUUACAAAGGACAAAAGUACCUUAAAUUUUAUAAUUGAUGCCAUGAAGGUCUAAAAUAAAUAAAUAAAUAAAUUACAGGGUAAACUUUUUUACAGGGUAAACAUAUAUUAACUUUUUUUUAUGCAAGAAUGGAGAAAAGAAAACCAAAACUUCAUUAUUUAUACAAUGUUGAAUGUCCGAAUGUGUGUCAAAAAAUAUGUUCUAUGCAAUAAACAUCCCUAACAAAAAUAACAUCCGACGUCUAGUAGCUGGUUCGGUUCGAAGUUUUCUCCAAGAUAGCUGAAGUAUGAGGGUGAGUACUAUCAAAUAAAGCCCAAUGAUUAGAGGCAUCAAGGUGCAUCACCCUCAAUUUAUUCUCAAAUUUUAAAUAUGUAGGAUGGUGUGGUUGCUCUGUUGAGCCAUGUCAUGGAAUCGAGAACUCCAAAUAUAUCAUUUUUAAUUUGGUAAGAAGAACUACCCAUGCUAGAUGAAUCGGAAGUUGGGUUACGGUGUCCAAUUGCACGCUAACCUAAACACCUGGUGUUCGUCAAAUAAGACAGUAUAGGACGGUGGUCAUGGAAGUCGAAAUCCGCUAAAGAGUAUAUAACAGCUUACCUUCUAAAUCAACUAGUUCAAAAAAUGGAUGGCGUUAAAGCAACCUAUAACCGGCUCCAUUGAACAUUUCAAAAAAUUGGUAGUAGCUUCGUUUUUUUCUUCUUUCUUUUAAUGGAAAUGGGUACUUAACUCCCUUGUAUGAUUUCAUUCAGCUUUUUUUUUUUGAACAAGUGAUUUCAUUCAGCUUUAAAUUUAAGAUACCAAGGGUCUAGAUUCGAAAUUGAGUUUCUAGCUCGUCAUUCUUGAGUAAUAUUUACUUGUGUAAUUUUUAAAAGUCAUAAUGAAUUAAUCUAGCAAGUAUAUUCUCUGAUUAUCUGAGGGCACGUGAGAGGUAAAUAAUGCAUGCAAUUCCACCCAAGAGAAGGUAGAUCCAAGAAACUAAUAAGGAAGGUACAUAGCAAUUCAGCUGAAAUCACGGUUCUUGUUAUUUUCAAGCUAGCUAAGUUUGGUUUGUCCAUACUCUAGUUGUCUAUAUUGCAAAAUAUUUACCUAAAGACCAUACCGAAUGUUAAUGAUACAAAUACAAAAUAGAGAAAGAGAGAAUAGGAACAAUAAUGUAAGUUAGGGUUUUAUAAAAUAUUAAUAUCUUGAUGUUAAAAACGGUUACAAGAUAAUACUAUGUACUUCCUCCGUCCCUAAUUAUAAGAUCCUUUUGAGAAUUUUUUUUGUCCCUUUUUAUAAGACCCCUUUGUUAUUUUCAACUACAUUAAUUAUUUCUUUACAUACAUACCCUUAUUUAUUAUACAUCUUUUUCUUCAAUCAACAAUAAAUAACAUGUUGAAAACAUAAACUAACAUUCUUUCUUAAACGAUAAAAUUGUAAAAACAAUAGUGAUUACAAACAACUUUAAUACAAAUAUUCACUAUCUUAAUUCCCGUAAUUUUGACAAAAGGGUCUUAUAUAUAGGGACGGAUGGAGUAAUAAAAUUUAAUAAACUCCAACUUACUAAUAUAGAGGCUCGAUUGAUUAAGCCUAAUACUUUAUUAUCUAACAGUAAUUAUCAGAAUAUAACAUAUCAAUUUAUGACCUUUAUUUCCAAGAUUAGAUCAUCAUCUUAGCUAAAUCGAGAGAUCAGCAUCAUCACUAAUAAAAGUUACAACAUCAGGAGAAACAAAUGAAGUAGAAAAAAAAUUACUAUUAAUAGAAAAAAAAAUUGAUACAUUAUGGAACUUCCACCAUCCCAAAUUUGUGUAUUGUUUACUCAUGCACUUCAUCAUAACCUUCCACUAAGGCAUAAUAGCACCUUUUUUUUGGGGUACAUAAAGCAUAAUAACACUUUAACCCAUAACAUAUUAGUAACAUAUAUAUCAAUUAUCUAUUUUUAUGAAUGUAUCACUUUUUGCCCCCUCGAAAAUGCAAAUUCUUACUAAAUUAUUUAGCAUUAAUUUGGUUGAUUACAAACACAUACAUCAUUUGGUCACUAUUAUAAGUAAAAUUUUGUAUUUUAGAUUCAUUCAUUUGAUGAUAUAUAUGUUAUUUAUUAUAGACCACAUACAUUAUUUAAUAAAUGAAUCUAAAAUACAAAAUUUUACUUAUAAUAGUGACCGGAUGGUACAGAUAUCCAAUGUGAGCCCUCAUAUCAUUGAGUAUGUGGCAUGCAUUCAACUAUUCAUGCUUUGGCCUUAUAAAGUAGCCAACACCUUAACUUUUCUUUUAUCUUUCUUGCAAACUCAAGCAAUAUAUAAUCAUUUUUUACCCGAAAAUAGAUGUAUGGAACAAUAUUAUAUAAUUGUACCUUCCAAUAAAAGAUAACUUUUUGACACAAAAAAUGAGUGUACAAAUUUAUACACAUCACCUUUACACUUCAUUAAUUUACGAUAAACUUACGUAUGCGAUACCAUACGUUUGACACUUUUUUUCAUAAUCAUUUUUUGUUUUUCUUUUUCAAAUUUUCAUUCUUUAUGUUACAUUUUAUUUGGACCGUUAACCUAUAAGUUUUUUUUUUUAAGGACGUUAACCUAUAAGUUAUAUCACUCGUUGUCUGUCAUUUAUAUUUUACGAUUAUAUGUAUCACAUAUUUAGCUCCACAACAAUAUUCAAUGUUUUUUUUAUCAAGUGUUCACACAAAAGAUAAACGACGACUCGUUAUUACGAGUUCAUGAAUUUGAACCUUGUUGUUUAUUGAAGAUAUUUUUGUGUAAAAAUUAAGUUCAAGAAUUCUUGGAUUUAAAAUUUAGAUUUAAAGAAGCUAAAUAAUUAAAUUGAGGAAAUUUCUUAUUCAUUAGAUUGAAUAUACUGAUUUGAUCUACUUUUUAAACAUUGAUUUGAAGUAGAAUUUCCCCACAAAAAGUAGGCCUACAAGACCAAAUGGAAUACAGUAGGUUAUCAUGUUCCCACUUCAAUUUGUCACCCCACUACAUUCGUACCUCUUGAGUGCCCCAUACCCUGAUAAUACACCUUACAACCAUAUCCCAAAGUAAAUAAAUUAAUAAAAAUCUUUCAACCUCAAAAAUAAAUAAAAGGGUCACGUUAACCCAGAUCAUCGAUUAAGGAAGCUAAAAAAAUGAAGUUUUAAAUUGAAAAUGUUAUUUUUUAAAUUUUUUUUCUUAAGAAGUUAAAUUAGCUCAUCCAAAUUGACACCAAAGAGAAUUGAAUCUGAGACUUUGAGAAGGAGCACACUUGCAUGUCCCAACCAUAUCAGUAAGCCAACUCAAGUGGAUUUACUUUUUAAACUUUUUAAGAGUUAACCGAACAACAUUUGAUGUAAUUACUAUUAUAUUUAAUUCCUUAAGCAGUGCACACUCGUUAACAUUUCUCUAAAUAAAACUCGCAUAAGGUAGUAACUUUUUUUACUUAUAUAUAGUACUACUCACUCCCUAUCACAAGCCACCACUAUCUCAACCAUGAAAAUCCCAAUUUUUCUAACACCUUUCCUUCUCUGCCUCUUCAUCUCCCUAGUCCAAGCACAAACCCCAAAAUGUGACAUCCAAGAUGAUGGCUCAACACUCAAAGUGUUCCAUAUCUUCAGCCAAUGUUCUCCAUUCAAACCAUCAAAACCAAUGUCAUGGGAAGAAAGUGUCCUAAACCUACAAGCUAAAGACCAAGCUAGAAUGCAAUACUUCUCCAGCUUAGUUGCUAGGAAAUCAGUUGUACCAAUUGCAUCAGCAAGACAAAUAAUUCAAAGUCCAACAUACAUUGUUAAGGCUAAGUUUGGUACUCCACCUCAAACUUUGCUUUUGGCUUUGGAUACUAGUAGUGAUGCUGCUUGGAUUCCUUGUUCCGGUUGUGUUGGUUGUUCAACAUCAAAACCUUUUGCUCCUAUUAAGUCCACAAGUUUUAGGAAUGUUAGCUGUGGUUCUCCUCAUUGCAAACAGGUUAGUAAUCCUCGUAAACACAACAUUCAUGAACCUAGAAAUGUUUGGAUUUCAUUGUUUUGAUUAUAUAAUAUGAUAUUGAUUGUGACUAGAUAUAUGUGUGUCUAUAUAUAAUAUGUGUGUCUCAUUAUUUAGAAGAGUAUAUUUAAUUUGUCCUUCUAAUAAAGUGUAUAUAUACUAAUAUAUUUAGUGAUUUCUUUUAACUUAAUUUGAUCUGAAGUGUAUAAUGUUGACAAUCUUAAAACUUAUUGGAAUUUAAGAGUGAAAUUAUUAACUUAAGCAUAUGCUAUUGGUAAAAUUAGUUUAAGACUAUUAGUUUUUUUCUCUGGUUUCAAUAUUAUUUGUUUCUUUUUACUCAAAAAAAAUGAAUUAUUUGUUUCUUUAUCUCAUGACACAAAACUACAUAAUACUAUAUCUCACCACCAAAAUGAGUCACCAAAGACAUAAUACUGUAUCUCCAAGAGCUCUUGAACAAUGAAAUCCUUAAUAAUGUGUAUAUCAAAUCAACAUACAUUUGAUAAAUGAACCAAAUUUGGUUGUUGUGUAAUGUGUUGACGAUUGAUGAAUCAAAAUCAAAACAAUAUACAUUUGAUAAAAUACAUACUCUUGAUAAAAUAUAAAUAAAAAGAUAGUUUUUUUUUUUUUUUUAAGGAAAAUAAAAAGAUAGUUGAAUGUGACACAUACGUCAAUUUUUCAACUCUAGUAGUUUUUGCUUACAUUUCAUUCAAUAGUAGUUUAAGUUAAAAUUAUUGUUAGAAAAUUUAAACCUAAUUGGCUAAUUUUGGUGAAGACUAUGGUAAGUUCACAUUGAGUUAAAACCAACCAUAGAAUCAUAUUGUUCAUACGUUAUUCAAUAUCUAAUUUUUUUAUUUAAUGUGUUACUUCUAACUCAACAAAUCAAACUAUGCAUGCACUAUGAUAAUAAGUUAUCCGACAUUUUUUAAAAUAGUUGAUUCUCUCACAUAUAUAAUUUAUCUGACACUUUUAAAAACAGCACAUUCUUACAUCUAUCUAUAGCAUAAAAACAAAUUAACCGACACUUUUAAAAACCAUGAAAACAAAUUAACCGACACUUUUAAAAAUAGCUGAUUCUUAUAUCUAUAGGAUGAAAACAAAUUUACCGACACUUUUUUGCAAAAAAAAUAAAAAAAUAACUUUUUUUAAUAAGCAAAAAGAAUAACCAACAUUCUUCAUUUAUAAUAAAAUAAACAUUUACAAAUUUUUCACUGUAGUAUUAUAGUAUAUUCGAAUCAUAAAACCUUAUUCUAUGGUCACUGUACUUACCUUUCCUUAAGGCAAAAAAGAUCACGAGAUUUCCCAAAAAAACCAAAAGCUAUUUAUUACUUUUCUAUUUUUCCACAAAAAGUACAAAACAUAAACGGUGCUUAAGAUCUCAAACAUGUGAUAUUUUUCAGGUACCCAACCCCACUUGCGGUGGAAGCGCGUGUGCAUUCAACUUCACUUAUGGUAGUUCUUCCAUUGCAGCUAGUGUGGUCCAAGACACACUUACCCUAGCAACUGACCCAAUUCCAGGGUACACUUUUGGCUGUGUUAACAAAACAACAGGAAGUUCAGCACCACAACAAGGGCUAUUGGGCUUGGGCCGAGGCCCAUUGUCGCUCUUGUCCCAAAGCCAAAAUCUCUACAAGUCCACAUUCUCUUACUGUUUGCCUAGCUUUAAGUCGAUUAACUUUAGUGGGUCGUUGAGACUUGGGCCAGUGUAUCAGCCUAAGAGGAUCAAGUAUACCCCACUUCUCAGAAACCCUAGAAGAUCGUCACUCUAUUAUGUUAACUUGGUUGCUAUUAAAGUUGGUCGAAAAAUCGUCGAUAUCCCUCCUGCAGCGCUAGCCUUCAACCCGACUACCGGUGCCGGGACCAUUUUUGAUUCAGGUAAUAAUGUCUUCAUUUACAUUUAACAUCUUCUACUUCUUAACAAAAUGCAUUUUAGUAUAGUUUUACAAUCAUAAUUCAUAAGUAUACAUUUAUCAUUGUCAUUUUUAACUUUGGACAUGUAUUCUUUUCUCAAACAAAAAUACUUUGGACAUGUGUUUUAGAUGAUAAUACAAUACAUGUGUGUUUAAAUUACUAUUAUGCUUUGAAUUUUUCCUAGGUUUUAUGUUGUGUAUUUCCUAUAUAUAUAUAUACCUUCAAAACAUGGGGCGCAAUCUUGAGUAAGUAGUCAUAUUAUGUUCACAUUCUCAAGAAAACAAAGGAAAGUGGGUUUCAUGUUUGAAUGUGUGAUGACAAAAUUAAGGUCAAGUCCCCUCAAAAAAAAAAAAAAAAUUAAGGCCAAGUUGAGACAAAUUUGUCAAAAUCCUACACGUGACUAGGCCAUAUGUAUGACUUUGUAUUAUGUACUCAUGCUCCACAUGUCUUGUACAAAAAGCACCAACCACCAUUUUGAAAUCGAGAUUACGUACAAGUACAAUUAUAUUUUUAUUUUUUUGAGGGAAGUACAAUUAUAAUUAUAAUCACCGCACAUCCAUUUUUUCAUUAAAGAAAUACGAGAAUGAUGAUCUUGAAAAUAAAUUAUCAAGAUUGAAGCAAACAACAAUAAAACUAAGAUAUCAUUCUAACUAUGUUACCAAGGAUAAUAAUAAUAAUAAUAGAUUUAAUGGUUUAUACAAUGAAGACUCUCAUCAUACCUAUACAUAAACAUAUAUACUUUGUAAUCUUUUCAAAUAAUACGUACAUAAUUUGUAUUUCAUGUUAACGUAAAAUUAGUUUACAAUAAUCUUACUAAAGAUAUGGUUUACACUAAUUUAUAUUUAACGGUCCAUAUUUUAUUUUCUCAUGUCAAUUUCACUAAACAUUUUCUAAAUCUGAUUUUCUUGUUGAAUACUACCAGGUACCGUAUUUACUCGACUAGCUGAACCGGUAUACACCGCCGUAAGAAACGAGUUUCGCCGACGAGUUGGCCCAAAACUACCUGUGACAACCCUAGGAGGGUUCGACACAUGCUACAAUGUCCCAAUAGUUGUACCAACUAUAACAUUCUUGUUCUCAGGCAUGAAUGUAACACUACCACCAGACAACAUCGUCAUACACAGCACCGCCGGUAGCACAACAUGUUUGGCCAUGGCAGGAGCACCCGAUAACGUGAACUCGGUGUUGAACGUGAUAGCCAACAUGCAACAACAAAACCACCGUGUGCUAUUUGAUGUACCCAACUCAAGAAUUGGUAUUGCUCGUGAGCUUUGCACCUAAUAAGUGGUUCUUGGUUAAGAUCAAUUUUCUUAGGUACAAUAAUAAUCUUGUCGAAUUGGGAUUAUGAGUUAAUUAUUUGGGUAGUUGGUAUUUUAUUUUUAUUCAUGUCAUUUGGGUUUUGGUAUUGCUAAGAGUUUAUUGCUAACUAUGUAGUAAGAUAUUGAACUACCAUAUGUAAGGAAUUGGUAAAUGUAAGUUUCGAAGUUUGAAGUAUUUAUAUUGUAUCUUUGUAAUGGUAUUUGCCACGGGCAUAUAUAGCACUUAAUUAAGUUGUUUUAUUGAAUAUGAUUAUUGAAUUUACGGGUCUUUACAAAGUUUACAUAUGAUGUUGAAAUUUUAAUUUGCAAUGUGGAAUAGAAAAACUCUAUUGGAGCGAAUACUGAAUAGAGUAGUAUAGGGAAAAUUUUCGCAGUUGCUUCUUUUGGUCCAAUUUCGCUGCUAUAUAUGUUAUCCAAUUUUUGCAGCUUUUCUCGUUGUUGCAACCAUUGAUUCAUCGAAUUCAAGCAAUUGAUCUUUUAUCAGAGAAGAGAAGUAAUGUGCGUGUCUGCUAGGGUUUUUCUCAACGUGGCCUCGUCGCCACCAAUUUUUUUCGAGGAAGUUCCUUACCUCAGCCACCACACUGCCAAGAAAACCACCAACAUGGCCACAACGAUCAUCUGCACAUGCCCUUGCUAAUUUUGAUGAUAUCGCUUUUUAAUUUAACUAACAAAACCUUCCGUCAAAGGGGAUUCAGUUUAUCUUAAAAUUACCCGGGAAGUUCAUGAUCAUGAUGUAACAUCUUUAAAAAAAAAAAACUUACACGUUCGAUUGGUUAUGAUCAAGGUGUAAUAUAUUAAAAUGAAAUGAUUGUGGUCAUCAUGGUUUAAUUUUGAAUAGAUACACAAAAUUGUGUUACCUUUCGAAAAUUUGAAACAUAUUUGAUUUCUGGUGGAUUCUAGGGUGAACCAUCAAACAAAUAGUUCAUCGGUGAACCAUUUAAUUUUUACCAUCAGAUAAGAUUAACGGUAUAGAUCAACCAUAAUUAAAAAAGAGAAUAUUUACAAUUGCCCACAUACAAUCUUGUCAUACCUCACCUUCUUAAUUCACUCUGGUGCCUUUUUCUAUUAACGUGAACCAUUGGUUUAAACUCAUGUUUUAUUUUGAAAGAAUUAAAACUCAUGUUCUAUGUUUUUACUAAUUUGGUUUGAAUUUUCUUCAAAUGCUUAUAUAAAUAACCAGAAUGGGUGUUAAUCAAGAAAAGCUGAAAUCCCAUUGAUUUAAAUGUUCUUCCUGUUUUCAUCUUAUUCAAAUAUUAAGAAAAUUAAUCAAUCAUCAAAACUUAAUUCAAAGGACAGGCGCUUCAAACACAGGAGUUUGAAAUUGGGUAUUAUAUUUGCCUUAAAAGAGGGAGAAGGAGCAGUUAGUUAUGAUUGAAAUUAACAAAAGAGGGGAAAUUAAUGAUUGAAAAUUUUUCUGCUUUAAAAAAAAAAAAAAACACCAGUUAAUUAUGGUAGUGGUGGUGGUGUUGGUGACGGUACGAGCAGUCACCAUGGGAUGAGGAUGCAUGUUGUAGUUGUGAUGAGACUCAAAAACAAGGGAGAAGUAGAGGACAAGAUUGUGUGUGGUCAAUUGUCAAUAUUCUCUUUUUAAAUUUUAAUGGAUCUAAACCAUUGAUAUCAUCUGAUGGUAAAUAUUAAAUGAACCACCGGUGAACCACUUGUUUGAUGGUUCACCCUAGAAUCCACCUUGAUUUUUUGGUUCAAAUAUUUAUCUUGUAUAUAAUGUAUUACUGACAGAUAUUUAUCUCAUAUAUUUUUUUUUUGUAUUUAUCAAAUACUAGUGUUUGUUUUGUACUUCUUUGUUAUAUUUAUCAGUUACGAAUAUAUCCUGUAUUUUUUUAGAUGAGUGUUAUUUGAACAACUAUUUGGUGGACAACUUAUGAGACAAUCAUAAUUUACAAAGAAAAAGUAGGUAUUGACAAGAAAAUCAAAGCAAUAGGGAGAUAAAGUAAAAAAAUAAUGUAAAUAUGAGAAAGAAAGUUAUCACAAAAGUUGUCAAAAAAUGAAUGUUCAAAUAUCAUUUCUCACUUUUUUAGAUCCAUGUUUCCGUUGUUUUGUUUUUUGAACUUUAAAAAUUCAUAAUUAAUCUGUCAUUUGUUGGAAAAUUCUGAUUUUAUGUAAAAAGUCAUAUUUUAAAAUCAUAAACAACUAUGAACCUUCUGAUGUUAUUCAUCAAGAAAGUUCAAGUUACUGCAGUACAGUCAUUGGUAAAUGAUACAAACCAUUUCGCACCAAAGAUAUUAGAAACAGGGGCAUGGCUUCAAACAUCAUAAUCAUAAUGAAUAAAAUCAAACGGUUCAUCACUUCUAGUAAGGUUUGAAGGAAAAAUAGUUUGAUGGUGCUUAGAUUUCUGCGCAAUUAUCCUAUGUAAUAUAAGAAACACUGGGAGUAUAUUUAAAAGGUUAGAAAUGAGUACAAUGUGUACAAUUUUUCAAAGGGAGAAGCACCAAACGACAACAAUGUGUACAAUUUUUCAAAUAAAAAAUGAACGUAAAACAUAAAAAAAUUAACCUUAAAAAAUUGUCUUCGAUAUGAAUUUUAGCAAUUCCAACCGUGAAAGAGAAAUGAUAUUUGUAGAAUCAAUUUAUGACAAUUUUUUGAUAACUUUCUCUUUCAUAUUUAUAUUAUGCUCUCAUUCUCUCUAUUCCUUUUUCUCUCUAUUAUUUUUUACCAAUGAAAAAAAAAAAAUUAUCACAAAAGUUAUUUCAAAUAGUUUUUCAAAUAUCACUAUAGACUUAAUGUGAAAAUAAGUUUUUUUAUCGAAUCAAAUACUAGCAAUGCAAAUUAAUUACAAAAGUUACUAUUUAUCAUAAAAUUUUAAUGACGCGUAUCCUUUUAAUUUUUAUAAGAAAUUGUAAAAAUUAGACAACAAAAUCACUUACUCCUUUCAUUUCACAAUAAUAUUUGCAUCACUCAUAAUUCAAUAUGUUUUAAUGAAAAUAAUUUUUUUAGUUAUACAUUUUUCUUAAUUGAUAUGAAAGAAUCAAAUUAACUAUCAUUAAAAAACAAAUGGUGUAAUAUUUCUUAAAAGAUAAACAAAAUACAUCAGUACGACUAAAAUCCAUGUCAAAGUCAUCACCAAACACAAUCCGUGUAAAAGAAAAGAAAUCCGUAUGAAAAGAAUCUUCUUACUAGUUCUUACUUCUUAUCCAAAUUUUGUCUGCAAAAAACAACUAUAACAUGUAUGAAACCACCAUGACUAUUGGUCAUAACAUCAACAAUAAUAAAGUCUUAUUAUUAAGACGUGUUGCCCUUUCCAAGUUGCAAUUGCAAUCUUUCUAAAACCCACUCAUACAAUCUUCUUAAACAAAAAAACUCUUACACGUUUUUUCCUCUCUCUCCUUCCAACCCAAAAUAUGGACGCUAACCGCCGCGUCGUGCGGACGCUAGUAUCAAAACUAAGCUCCGUUUCAGAAAAAACCCGAAUCGAAUCACUCAUCGAGCUUCGUCAAUUAUCAAAACAAGAUCCAUCAACCCGACCCAUAAUAGCCGAAUCAGGCGCAAUCCCUUACCUCGCUGAAACCCUCUAUUCUUCUUUACACCCUUCUCAAGAAAACGCUACAGCAACACUUUUAAACCUUUCCAUAACGGAAAAAGAACCUAUCAUGUCCACGCGCGGUGUUCUCGACGCGCUUGCGCAUGUGAUUUCUCAUCAUUCAUCUACCUCCGCCGCCGCUGCUGUUCAAUCCGCCGCCGCUACGAUUCACAGCCUUCUUUCCUCGGUGGAUGAUUAUCGUACUGUUGUUGGAUCUAAACGUGAGAUUGUUUAUGCGCUUGUUGAUAUUCUUCGUUGCCACCGUUCCUCACCGCCAAGAACGGUGAAGGAUUCAUUGAAAGCGCUUUUUGCAAUCGCACUUCAUCCAUUGAAUCGUGCUACGAUGGUUCAAUUUGGUGUUGUUCCCGCGUUGUUUUCGUUGAUCGUUAAUGAUGGUAGAGUAGGGAUUGUUGAAGAUGCUUCCGCAGUUAUUGCGCAGGUUAUUACAAUUUUUGAUAGUACUCAUAUCUAUAGAAAUGUAUAUAGAAAGAAGAAGUUGAAUUUAAUUAAGUGCUCGUUUGAAUUGUCUUAUAUUUUAGCUUAUUAGCUUAUGAAAAAUAGUUUAUGUAAAUAAAUAAAUAAAUGUUAAUUUAUAAGUUUUCACUAACUAAAAUUGUAUUUCAUGAGCUGUUUUUUCAUAAACUAGCUUGACAAGCUUAUGAAUUGUACUUAAAAGCUUAUUUAGUUGCAUAAACUGUUUUGUGUAGAUUCAAAAAUAAUUCAAUCCAAACAGGCCCUACGCCUUAAGUAAUACAAUGAGAUAGUCGGUUAGAACAACUAACUCUAACUGAUGUGUAACUAACUUUUAUAUCUUUGAUUCAGGUCGCCGGUUGCGAGGAAAGUGUUGAGGCGUUUAAGAAGGUUUCUGGUGUGGGAGUGCUGGCGGAUUUACUUGAUCUUGCUACCGGUUCGAGUAUGAGGACGAGGGAAAAUGCGGUGUCGGCAUUGCUUAAUCUUGUGAGAUGUGGUGGAGAUGUGGUGGCUGGAGAUGUAAGAGACGCGGUGGCGUUUGGUGCGAUGGAUGGAAUUGCUGAUGUUAAAGAUAAAGGAAGUGUUAAGGGGCAGAGUAAGGCGAUGGAGUUGAUGAGAGUGAUGGUUGGUGAUGUUCGUAGUCACGGUGAUGUUCGUAGUCAAGGUGAUGUUCGUAAUCAUGGUAAUGUUGGUUUGAAUAGUGAUUCGUCGUUUGGUUCUUAUAUGAAUGAAGAUAGUGGUACGUCAUUUUGAAUGAUGGUUUGUCGUUUUGGUCUCUUGGUGAAAUGAGUUUUAGGUUGGCGGAUCAUGUACAAAAAUAGAUUAGAAUUCUGUUGUUGUUGCUGUUACUAUUAAUGACAUGUUGUUAUGAUUCUAUUGAUUUUUAUGUUAUGAUAUGAGAAAUAUCAUGAUAUGUUGUACAUUCUAACAAAGAAAACGCUCAUUAAUUGAAAAGGUUAUUCUUCUUCUGGUGUGUAGAGUGCUUUUGAUUUGAAGUUGGGUUUAUAAUCUGUGAAAGAUUCAAGCUAUAAAACGAAGAAAGUAGUGAAUAGUUAUGAAUUAUUUCUGUUUAUGAGAUCAUUGCUAGCAACUUUUAAAUGAAAUGAUGGAUAUUCAGUGAACAUAUAUGUUGAUUACAGAACAUAAGGGCUCCAAAGCCUCACUUGUGUCUUCAAUAUGAUUGGUUACCAAUCUACCAUGUAAAAGUUUCCAACCAAAACAAUAGAUUCUCACACUAAACUUCAUCUUCUACAAAUCCUUCCUUAUGCAUGAGAUGAAAGCCACUCAAACUCAUGCACUUGCCACAGAAAAAACACCCAAACCAUUUUCAGGCUAAAUUCUAAUAUCAGCUUCAAGAUCCUCAGAGAGAUGGUAAAACUGCAGAUCCUUUAAGAAAAACUUAUUGCUUAAGGUCCAAAAAAGAUACGUUUUCCACAAGCUGCGUAACACAUGCAUAACUGAUUAAAUGGAGAGAGAAAAAGGAAGAGAUAGAAUAAAAGUAUAAUGUGAGUAUGAGAGAGAAAGUUGUCACAAAAUGAUUGUACAAAUAUCAUUUAUCUUUAUAAAUACACAUUGGAGGCGUGUUACUAUACAAAACAAAAUUAAAAAUAAAUAAGGUUAGGACAAUAGUAAAAGUCCACAACAACCCAUAUAAUUACAUUUUCUUAAAACAUUUUUUAAGGUUGAUGUGAAGAACAACCAAUUGAUUGGUCUAAGUGUAAGCACUUACACCCCCUUAAACAAGUGGUUGAGGGUUUGGGCUCUGACUCUUGUCGGUGGAAAAAAUUCGAUUGAGAAGAGAGAAUUUAUAUUGUUCAUUCGACAGAGAUUAAUCAAACGCUAAACAACAGUAAAAUUUCGUACUACUAAAAAAACUUCCUUGAGGAGCAGGAUUGUGUUAGAAUUUCUUAAUGAGAAAUGCUAUUUGGCAAGACAUUAAGCAUUUGUUGUUCUCUAUGGUUACACAAUAACAUAAGAACCUUUAUCCUUUUGAUUGCCCUUUACAAGAAGGGCUAUAUUGAUAAUUCGUUAAGUAGCAAUUAAUUAAGAGACUUGUUCAAAAAAAGCAAUUAAUUAAGACAAAAAAAAAAAAAACAGUACCGAAAGAAAAAAAACGACAUACACCGAAAUAAAUUGAGCUUAAAUAUGCUUUUAAUCCUUGCAAAUAUAAUAAGUUUGGAUUUUCGUCCCUGGUAAAAAAAAAAUUUGAAAUUCAUCCCUGCAAAAUUUUUUGUUUUUUAAAAUAAUCCUUAGAUCCACUUUUGUGCUAAUUUGUCCAAUUUUUGCCUAUGUGGCAAAUGUUGACCGUGCAAAUUUGACCACGUGGCUUCCAUGUGUCAAUUUUGUCAUUUAAUAUAUUUAAAAAACAUUUUAAAAAUCAAGUAAUUUAUUUUUUAAAUUAAAAAAAAUCAAUUAAGGAGAGAGAGCAUGAUUACCCCAUCCGAGACCUUCAUAUUUUUCCCUUUCUUCUUCAAAAUUUCAUUUUAUUCCCUUUCUUCAAUUCAUCUUUGUAACAUAACAAUAACAACAAACUCUCUUCACCCAAAAUAAACACCCAAAUUCUCAUAACCUAACCCUCACGAAAAUUCCCAAUUUCUCAAAACCUAAACCCUGAUUGAAUCAAAAUCAAAUUGAAUUGGAUAUAGAUCAAGCAAGGAAAAGCAACGAAGAUGAAGAUGAGAAAACUUGAUAGGGGUUUACUUAUUCAUCUUCUUUAUAUGUAUGUCAACAAAAACAUACCCUCUUUUUCCAACUUUUCAAUGUUUUUGUUAAGAGACAAGGUUCAUGUUUCUGAUCUGCGUGUUUAAAGGCUGUUGUUAUUGUUGUUAAUGGUGUUGAGGUCAAACCUUAGUUUUCUUAAUUUUUCUAUUGUUCUGUUCCUUUAGCUGAUUGUGUUGUUGUUGGGUUUACCGUUAUGACGUUUGAUGAUGUUAAGUGUUGUUUGAUUUUCUUGGGAGAAGGGUAGCAUCUGAGAAUAGUGAGGAUGUUUUUUGAUGAAUUUGAUUUGGGAUCUUAGUAAUAGUGAGGGUAUGAAUAAUGGGUUGAUUUGAGAAUGGAAUCAUGUUGUUAUGUGAUUGUUAUGGAUGCUGAUCUUAUGGAAGAGGAAGAAAAAGCUGAGAUGUAGAAGAUCAAGAAGAGGAAACUAAUAUUCUGUUAAAAAAAAGAGGAAAUUAAUAUAAAAAAAAAGAAAACAAAUAAAAACAUUUAUAGAUUUAUUGAUUUAUUUUAUAUUUAUUUAAUUUCAUUUAAAAUCCACAUGUACAAAAUGAUACAGUCAGCAAGUGACACCUAAGCAAAAACCUGCCAAAUAAGCAAGAAAGUGGGUCUAGGGACUACUUUAAAAAAUAAAAAAAUUUGCAGGGAUAAAUUUCAAUUUUUUUUUUACUGGGGACCAAAACCCAAACUCAUUAUAUUUACAGAGAUUAAAGGCAUAUUUUAGCCAAUAAAUUGAUUAUUGAAUUUGAAUGAAAACCUUCAUUUCUUUAGAUUGGAUAUAUGCGAUAUUUUUCUCAUACAGAUUAGCAUUUUCUUUCUUAACUAAGG
RNAcentral lists this long non-coding RNA (47440 nucleotides) under Medicago truncatula (barrel medic). Its description in RNAcentral is "long non-coding RNA (MTRU_LNC006085)". The stretch from base 32998 to 33418 matches the Rfam family "Eukaryotic large subunit ribosomal RNA", at positions 962 to 1384 of the family's 3401-position model. Lineage: Eukaryota; Viridiplantae; Streptophyta; Magnoliopsida; Fabales; Fabaceae. The record is from RNAcentral.